UUUUACCCUUGGACUAAGUUAGUGGGAAAAUCCAACAUUUUGUUGGAUAAUCCCACUAACUCUUAGUGGGAUAUGUGGCUAUAUGAGAUAUAGACACCUAGCCCACUAAGUUCCACUAAUUGUUAGUGGAAAAUUAGGUGUUGAGAUUUGGCAAAUGAAUUGCAUGCAUUUUUGCAUGUAAUUAGGCUAUAAAUAGAGAUGUUUUCAAAUGUUGAAGGACUUUUGCCUCUUUUAUCAUUUUCAUAAUCUCAACAAAAGAAAAAAGAAAGCUUCCAAUCUCAUUUUAUCUCCAUUACUUUCUACACCAAAAUUGGGUCCCACAACCCGGUUCUUUGUCUAGAGGAUAACAGUUGAGUACUAGUGGUGGUCUCGGGAAGAAUUGGUAAGAAGACAUCAAACCUUUUGUAAGCUUCAAAGGUAAUACUUCUUAAAACCCUAAUUUGAUUAGUUUAUGGUUACAUGUUAAUUGUGGCAAUUAUGGUAGAAAUUCGAUUCUUUUUCCGCUGUGCAUGACUUAGUUCUAUCAUUAAUAGCUAGUUUAUUUCUUUGAUAUGUUUGAGAAUGAUAUUCCAUAUGUAUAUUUGAUGAGCAUAUACUAUAAUAUUCCGUAUAGUAUUUGACAAAUUUAUGUUAUAGUAAUGAGGUGCUAUUGUGAUAGAGUUAUGCGUGACUUACGUCAUGAAUUGUCACAUAAUUUGGUUAUUAAUUUCAUGAAAUUGAAAGUAUUACUAUUACUUGUAAUCAACUUUUGUCGAUCAGAUUCAUAAAUAUAAGAUUUGUUUCAAAUUUCAUAUGUAGUGAAAAUAUUUUGGCUGGUAACAUUCUACCAUUUUAAUGUUUUUCUUGGGUUGAUUUGUAUUAUGAAUUUGGUUUUCCUAUGGUUUAAGGCUCAACAAUGUUUCGAAGUUUUUUUUGUAUAUGACAUGAGAAUUUGGCAAUUUUAUUUCAUAGCUAUAUUUAGUAUGAUAUUUAAUAUAUGUUUGAUAAGUUUAUGUAAAUUUACUCAUUCAUUUUUUAGAACCAUUUGCACAAUUGCAACUAAGAAACACUACUUGAUGCUCUAUGGUCUAUGUUAUAUACUCAAUACUAGAUACUAGCUACUCGAUGUUCAAUGCUCAUUAGUUGAUGCUCUACGUUUUAUUUAUGUUAUGUAUCUUAUCACUAAAUGUUUGAUACUUAAAGAAAUACAAGAAAAAAAAUUAGAAAUUAAAAAGAAAAAGAAAAAGGAGUAUAAAAAUGAAAGGAGUGAAAAAAAAUUCAAAGAAAGGAUGAAGUAGAAGAAGAAGAAAGAAAAAAAAGAAAAAAAAUUGUAAAUCGUAAAACAAAGAAAAGAGAAGAAGAAAGCAUGUUGGGUGUGUUUGGGGGAGGGAAAGAUUUAUGGGGGAAAAGAAUUAUGAUAAUCCUAUGAUUAUAAUAAUCUUAGUGUUAUGAUAAUAUGUGUUUGUAGUUAGGGUUAUUAUUAGUAGUGUUAUGGUAAUAUGUGUUUGGAGGAAGGAAUAUGAAUGGUAGUAUUAUGUUAGUAUCUAUUUGAGAGAAGGAUUCUUGUUGCAGUAUUAUGAUAAUAUUUGUUUGGGGGAAGAGUUAUGAUUGUACUAUUAUGAUAAUAUGCAUUUGGGGGAGGAUUAUAUAUUUUUUAUAAUUUGUUUUUAUAAAAUAAAGAAUAUUAAAAUACGUAUUUAUUAUUUAUAAUAAAUCAUAUUAUUUUGUUAAAAUAAACAAAAUUAAUAUAUGUAAUUAUAAUACAUCAUAUAAUUUUUUUCAACACAAUUUGCAAUUUUUUGUUAUAGGUCUGAGAUUAGUGAAAAUUUUGUUUUAUAAAGAGCUUAGCGUGAAGGGCCUUUAAUUUUUUUUUUUCCAACCGUGCACAAGUAACGCCUAAAUUAGUUAGAGUAUUGAAAUAAAAGUGAUGCGCUGAAUGAAAUUAGAAAAAACAAAUUCAAUACGUAUGGUCGUUAACAUAAUAGUGAAAUCACAUUACAUUGAUAAAAAUACGAAAAAACAUACAGUACGCAGAUUAAAAAAAACAUACAUAUAAGAUAAUGAAAGAUAAAGCAAACAAAGUCAAGGGUUUUCUUUGAGAAUGACACUGCAAAAUGAGAAUUUCAUUUCUUCAGGUAUAUUAAGGGAUAAUUUCAUAUGGCAUGUAACUAGCAAAUGACCUCUUGUCGUGUUGUGCUCGCAUCUUGCAACUGACCAGUCCGCAAUGCGGUUUAGUUGUUCAUUCCCGUACUGAAUUGUGUUGUGAACUACGUCUCCAGUUUCUACAGACUCUCCUCCAAGUUUCCGAUUAGACCCACUAGAAACAUUUCUAUGUCACUUCCGCGAGCGAUUCAUGUGUUCAUUACUUUGCCAGGUGACAUGUCUAGUCCCUAACUGUACAUUGUAUGGAACCCUAUAUCGUUGACAUCGUCAACAGAAAAUUCCUCACAACCUCUAGGCACAUUCGAACCGACAUUGACAAAGGUCUCCACACGCAUGCCCGUUGCAUGACCUAUGCCAAAGACAUAGGAAAGCUCUUCAUAGUGGGGAAACUAUCUAUGUAAGAGGUCCUUUGCGGCCGGAUGACUUUGUUCAAGUACAAAAUACAAAAAACAUUAUUAGUAUUAUUGUUGCUUAUACUACAAUAACAGAUGAUAUAAAUAAGAUCGUACCUUCACCCAAUCGUCUAACACAUCCUUCCUCGUAAUGAUGCACUUUAGUUCAUCAUUCCACCCAAAGUCGCUACGGGACGGGCCACGCAUCUUUGCUAGAGCGUGGAACGUUCUCUUAAGCAAUUAUAUGCGACUAUCAAUAAUUGUUACCUGGAUGUUACGUCCUCAUUUUUGUGACAAAUGAAAGUGAUAGUCAAACAUGAUGGUUGAAGACCUAAUACAAAAUAAAGGCAAUUAGGUAUGCAACAAAAGACUCUGCACAAGUACACAAUGAACAUCAAACUAUGGACCUAAGUAGAGAGGUACGUGGAAACAUAAGAAAUCAGAACAAACAAAUGGGAGUAUGUGGAAAAAUAAUGAAUCAAAACAAACAGAGGCUAUUACAAAAAAUAAUGAAUCAGAACAAACAUAAAAAGAAAAAAUAGAAAACAUAGUUCAGAAGCAAAAAUCCAUUAAAAAUUGAAGAGGUGAACACAGAAACAUUUUUUCUUUUCCUUUCAAAUUGUAUAGAUGGAAGUAAGAUACGAACAAGGUAUCAAACAAACCAAUCUGAAGACAUACAUGAAGAUAACAUCCAUCAAUAUUUAGUGGAGGGACGGGGGUGGGCGAAACCAAAUGCUAUAAAUUAGAACGAACAAAAUAAGUAUGGAACGAGUAUUUAAAGAACUUAUAAAUCGAGAAAAAAAUAUAUGAUCUUAUAAAACGAGAUAAAUUAUAUGAAAACAAAAUAAAAAGAAGCAAGGAUGAGAAGAUUACUGCAAAUGUGAAAAAUGGAAGCACCAAUGCUACAAAAAUUAAUGCAAAUUUUCAAGAAGAAAAGAGAAUAGGUACAAAUUAUUUUUGUGUUCAUCAUUGGCUACACAUACCUUUUCAAAGAAGCGGUCACCCCUACCAUGCUCCGCCGAUGGUCCUACCAGACUCUUUUGUUCAACGCAUGGUACUUGGGUGUAGCAUCUGUCACUUGAAGCACUGUUGGGUGGAAACGAACAAGUGACAAUGUCAAUAUCAGAGCGACAAGGCACCGUCGAAACAACAAGGGGAAAUCUGACACUUAUGUGUUAGAAUAAAGACCUUAAUCGAAACAUAGAGAGGAUGGAUUUGGUUUCAGAGGCAACGCACGUGAGCGGCAACCCAUCAGCGAAACCACAGGGACGAAACUUUUUUCGUUUCAGAGGCAACAAGCAAAUGCAUCCAUCAACGAAAGAGAAGUUUGGUUUCAAUGAAGGGGAAAAGAAAACAGGGACAUAAACGAAAUGAUGAACAUUUAUGGGAAAAUAACAAUAUGGAUGUAGAUUUGAAGAGAAAAAUAGAAAAACUCAUUCAAUUGUAUAUUUUAGGAAGAGAAAAUGAAAAUGAAAUGGAAAAGGACAAAGAUUACAUCAUAAUGGAAAAGGAAAUCUGACAGAAUAUGAAAGGUUGAAGGGAAAAUCGAGAGGAUUACAACAGGAAUAUAAAAGGUUGAGAGAGAGUUACGAAGGUUAUAGAGGGAAAGAGAGGGAAUACCCAUUAUGAUCAAACGAGGUCCAAACAAGGAUUUGACUUUUGACCCAAUCCUGAUCCCCAUAUUUCCCAUCUUAAACACACCCUUAAGGUUAAAGUGAUAAUUUUACACUAUGAUGAUAAGCACAAUGCCACUUUUAUUGGUGUAAAUUUUCCUUUUUUUUUUUUUUUUUUUUUUUGAAAAAUUGCAUAAAUUAACCCUUUAAAAAAAGGAAAAUUGUAAAAAAUGAUAAAAUUAACAAAAUAUUUACAAAACAUAACAAAAUUUUAUAUUCAAUCAAUAAUAAGACACAAGCUCAAUGUCUAUCAUUGGUUGAAUUUGUAAUUUUACUAUAUUUUGAUUCAUUUGGUUAUAUUUGAAAAUGUCAAAAAAUUUAGUUGAUGGUAAUCCCUUCUUAAAAAUAUAUUUGUUUUAGAAAAGAAAAAAGAAUUAUUUUUAAUCUAAACAGUAUUUUGGUGACAAAAUUAACAUUUUUUUUUAAAAAAAUAUUUUUCUAACAUUUUUUUUUUUUGUAAUUUGAACAAUGCCGUAAGAUGAAAAUAUCAUUUUAUCUGUCAUUUAUAAGGCAAAAAUCUUGUGAGGUCAAAUUCCCACAUGGUCCUAACUAAGAUCACGUCGAAAAAUCUCCUGUUUUGAUCUAAGACUUUUUAAAGAAAAAAUCGUUAGUUUAACUAGAAACUUUAUUAGAGUCCUCGAUCGAAGAUGCAAACCUCAAUUAGUGUUAUAAUAUAUGUAUAUAAUGUAUAUAUAUGUAUAUGUAUAUAAUGUAUAUAUAUGUAUAUGUAUAUAAUGUAUAUAUAUGUAUAUGUAUAUAAUGUAUAUAUAUAUGUAUGUAUAUAAUGUAUAUAUAUGUAUAUGUAUAUAAUGUAUAUAUAUAUGUAUAUAAUGUAUAUAUAUGUUUCUACAAUAUUGGAGAAAAUCUAAGAAAAUGGAAUAGUCCAAAACCCAAGUCCAUGCUCAAACUCAAAUCUUCUCUUCCAUCUCAUCAUGUCCUUCACUCCAACAAACUCACAACCAUAACCAUAGUUCCAGAUUCUCAUCUCUUCAUUUCUUUCUUUACUCAACUACCACUAACACCUAUCAGAAGUAGUCGACGUCGUUACUAUCGAGCUUAGGUUCUAUCGUCCAGUUUAACUUUUGUCGCCAAUGACUUUGUCCUCGUCGAGAAAUAAUAUAUUUUUUCUUCUUUAGAAUUGGUCCAAACCUAUGAUAGCCAUUUUUCACUUCAUUUUUGUACAUAGAAUCUUAAGAAUUAAUGUUUGGACUUAUACUUUAAUCUUUUUAUAUUACAAAUAAGAUAGAGAAAUUGAAAUUUUAGAAUGAGAAAGAGGGCUUAGGGAUUUUGCAUGGCGAGAAUUAAUUAAGGAAUCAGGGAAUGAGUCCACACAGGGACCCAUCCCCUCAAUUGACCAACUCUAUUAAAAGAACCACACAAUUUCUAAAAAUUGCCCAACUUGACUCAAAAACCAAAAGUCUAUCUAAUAUGGACCUUUAUUUGAAAAUAUGUUUGUUCUUUUUUACCAUUUUCAUAGGUGAAAUACCAAUUUUAACUUUAAUGUUAAAUGCUUUUGUUAUCUCGUUAAUUUGAAUGUGUUGGAACGCCUAGAUGGAGUAUUACACUAAGAAGAAGUAACGCUUAUACAACUCGCGUGCUAACUCGCCUUGUAUUUCGACUGGUAGAAUUUGUAUCUUGCAUUGUCUAAACAGAAUGCUACUAGUCACUUGUUGUCUCACCUUUCAGUAUCAUUUGGUUAAUAACUUGAGUCUUGAUCAAAUUGCUUAUAGAUCAGCUUGCAUGGUCAAGUUUUCGUGACAAAAAUGCCUAAUACAAAACAAAAGCUAGUUAAGAAAAGAAAACUGAGUUGUGGAUCUCGCUUUCUUUAAGUUGUUUCGUGGCUCUACUCCUUUGUGCAAACAAAUUUGUAUAGCCUUGUCGUCUCCAAGAUAAAAUAGUCGUGUUCUUCAAUCAGAAGUGUACUGAAAACUAAUUGGAAUACCAACACUCAAAUAGACACACUUUUUGCUUGAAAAACUCAAAGAAAGGAAGUAAGAAUUUGUGGUUUUUCUCAUAUCUUAAAAUGAAGAAGGAAAAGUGUUUAUAUAGUGGAGGAGGCUAAAAGAGACAAUGGUAAUUAAAUAGGAAAUUUUAAUUAUGGAAACAGUUGUAAUUAAGGGAGGAUAACGUUGGAAAUUAAAUAUAAAACGGAAUUAAAACGUUUGACUCUUUUAUGAUGCGAAACAAUCAUAAAGAUUUUGUAUUAAAGAGACAACGGUAAUAUCAUUAUUACAUCUCAUCUUCUCUAGCCAUCUCACCUAGGAUGGCAACUAAUGUGUGAAGAUUAGAAAUCUAAUCUUCCAGACAUCUCACCUUGGAUGACAACACACAAUUUAUUUGCUUGUCUUCUCUCAUUUCCAAACUCACAAUUGGAUGAGUAUUUUGUAAUGAAGACAUUUUCAAAAGUUUUCAUCAACAAUCUCCCACUUGAAAAUUUUUUACUGCUAAUUUUCCACUUGAAAAUUUUCAAAACAUUUUCAUAGAGUAGUGUCUAUUUGUAUAAUAUUGUGCUUAAGUAAAGGUAUCGAAGGACUUGAACCUUUACGUAGUAACAACAAUUUAGAGUAUUGUAAAGUAACUUGCACUCAUAGCAUUAUUCAAGUUGUCACCACGUGCCCGAGACGAUGCGGAGCGGCCAACGUCCUCAAAAGAGUUAGUUUUAAAAGAAAAUAGGAGUCGUCACCAAUCUUUUUUACGGUGUGAUUGGACAUCGAAAUAAAGUAAACAAUUUUAAAAAAAUAGUAUGCAAAAAAUAGAAUUGAGUUCGGGAGUCAUUUGUGUGUGGGGAAUGUAUUAGCACCCCACAACACUCAUUUAGAAAAACGGUGGCUAAAUUUAAGAUAUUAAAUUGAAAAUAUUUUUUAAUUUAUUUUAAAACUAAUGUCUUAUUUUACCCAAUAUUUGAAGCAAUGAUCUCAUAGAAUAAGUGAAAUAAUAUUUCAUUAAUUAGACUAUAUAUUGAGAAAAGUUUCUCACCUUAAGAAAAUGAGAAAUUAUUACAAUUUCUCAAAAUCUAUUAUAGACUAGUUUUCGAAUAAAGUUUUUUUAAAAAAACACAUUGAUUAAAUUCAUUUUUUCUUUGGAUCAUAUUUUGGACUUCCAAAGAUGUGAUUCCUCACCUCAACAAUUCUAGAAAAUUGGAAUUUCAAAUUUUCUAGAAUCCGUCGUAGGAUUUUGUUUAAGGAAAAUUGUAUAAGUUUUUUUAGAAAAUACUGAUUUAGGAAACCUUAUGAAAUCAUAGGUUAAUUUUGAAGGUUUUAGAAAACAUAAAACAUUUAUAACAUUAGAGACAAAUUUACUAACCGAUUAAAAAUAAAGUAUUUAUUUUAAAACAUUAAAUAAUUUAAAAGAAAGAUUUUAAAACAUUAAAUAAUUUUAAUACAAAGAGUUACAUUUAACUGCAUAUAACAAAAUAAUUAUGAUAGUAAUGUGAAUAAGUAAAAAAAACAUAAUAACAAUAAAUAAAUAAGGAAAGAAACAAAAAAAAAAAAAGAAUAAAGAAAGAAAAAGGAUUUUUUUAAAAAAUAAUGUCUUUUGUAAAAGUAUUUACAAAAAUAGGGUAGUUGGGAAAGUAUUUUCAAAAAUAGGUGACUGAAGUCGCGUACGGGGUACACGACUUCCAUAAAUCGAUUUGGUGUCGUGGACCGGGCUUACGAUAUCCCAGUGGAGUCGUGGACCCGGCCCACGUUUUCUGACUGGAGUCGUGUACCGGGUACACGACUCCCGUACAGCUGGCACAUUUUGCCGCGUAUGGUGGAAGUCGUGUACCCCGUACACGACUUCCGUACAAUGAGUCAACGGUCAACAGUCCAGUCAACCGUAGGGUUCACGGGUGGACGUAGGAUUCAGAGGGUGUGGACACGUGUCGCACAUGCAGGAAGUCGUGUACGGAGUACACGACUUCGCCUAUUUUAAAAACCCUAGAAUUCCCUCAUUCUGCCUUCAUUCCAAACAUUUAUUCCUUCCUCUCUAAAUUUUUCCUCUUUCUCUUUUUCGUUCUUCCUUCCUCUUUCCUUUCCUCUUCCUUCAUCUUUCCUUUCCUAUUCCUUCAUAUUUCCUCUUCCUUCAUCUAGUUUUUUCUCUCUUCAUCUUUCAUCUUUCCUCUUUCUAACCCAUUCUUCAUCCCAACUUCAUCUUUCCUUUCCCCCUCUUCAUCUUUUCUCUUCCUAUUUCAUUCUUCCUUCCAACUUCAAAUUUUCUCUUCCUCUCUUCACUUUUCUUCUUCUAUUUCGUCAUAAAGGUAUGUUUUUCUAAAAAUCGUGGAUGUGGUAUACGAUUUUGUUGUUAAAAUUAUUUUAUUUUAUUAUUAUGUUGAUAAAAUAAUUUAUUUUUUGUUGUAGGCUUCUCCUAUCCUCCAUUGUCUCCUAUCCUCCAUUGUCUCAUUCAUCUUCACAAGGUAUGUUUAUUCUAACCCUAAUUUUAUUUAGAUUUGUUAUUUUAUUUUCUUAUUUUGUGGAAAGAAAUCGUUUGAAUUUAGUUAUAUUUUUUUGAAUUUAGUUAUGUUUUUUUGAAUUUAGUUAUGUUUUUUGAAUUUAGUUAUAUUUUUGAAUUUAGUUAUAUCUUUGAAUUUAGUUAUAUCUUUGAAUUUAGAUAUAUCUUUGAAUUUAGAUAUAUCUUUUGAAUUUAGAUAUAUCUUUUGAAUUUUGUUAUAUGCCUUGAAUUUUGUUAUAUUUUUUUUGAAUUUUGUUAUUUUUUAACCUUAUUAAUAAUAAUAUUAAAAUUAUUUUAUUAUUAUUAAAAAUAAUCAUUAUUAAUAAAAAUCAAAAACUAACCUAAUUAAUGUUAAAUGUACUUUUUUUUUCUUUCCCGAUUGAGUUGACUAAUAAUAAUAAUAAUAAUAAUCAUAAUAAAAUUAUUAUUAUUAUUAUUAAAAAUAAUUAUUAUUAAUAAAAAUCAAAACCUAACCUAAUUAAUGUUAAAUGUACUUUUUUCUUUCCCGAUUGAUUUGACUAAUAAUAAUAAUAAUUAUUUAUUAUUAUUAAAAAUAAUAAUUAUUAAUAAAAAUCAAAACCUAACCUAAUUAAUGUUAAAUGUACUUUUUUUCUUUCCCGAUUGAUUUGACUAAUAAUAAUAAUAAUCAUAAUAAAAUAAUAAAAAUAAUCCUGAUUUGACUAAUAAUAAUAAUGAUUUGACUAAUAAUAAAAAAAAUAAUAGUAAAAAAUAAUAAUGAUUUGACUAAUAAUAAUAAUAAUAAAUAGAUACAUUAAACUGAUGAUCGUUUUUGUAUUUAACAGCUAAUUAAAUAUGUCGUUGCGACCUGAAGAUUUAGUUAUUCUUGAACCUGGUAAUGAUGGAGAUAGUGAUAUAGAUGUAGAAAUCGAUGAACUAUUUGGUAAUGAAGAAAAUAUAGAGGAAGAGAAUGAAAUGAUCCCGUCCGAUAUAUUUACACAAAUAGAUUGGGACAUUGCGAAUUCUGUUUGUGAACAAGGUUGUACAUUGACAGAUAGAAAUGUAUAUGUUGACACAUCUUGUUUAAUACAGAAGGGAAUGAUAUUUGACUCUAAGGAAGAUCUUAUGUUGGCUGUUAAGAGGUAUUGUGUGACACAACACUAUGAAAUUGUUGUAGUUGAAUCAAACCAACAUUUGUGGAAUAUUCGAUGCAAACAGUGGAGAAAUGGCUGCAACUGGAGGUUACGUGCUACGAAGCGUAAGAGCCACAGAUUGUUUGAAAUAACUAAGCUCCAAGGAGAGCACUCGUGUCUGUACUCAAAUCUAACACAAGAUCACUCACAGUUAGAUUCAAAUUUCAUGAGUGUUCAAAUUCAAAACAUGGUGAAAGCUGAUCCUACUAUUACUGUGUCUGUGCUUGUUGAAAUCAUAAAACAACAAUACGGUUACAGUGUUAAGUAUGGACGAGUUUGGCAGGCGAAGAAAAAAGCUUUGAUAACAGUUUUUGGUGAUUGGGAGAAAUCAUAUAAUGAGCUUCCAUACUGGUUGAGUGUUGUUGUACAUUAUAAUCCGGGAACUCGAGUUGAUUGGUUUUUUCUUCCAUUCGAUGUACCAGGUACAACCAUUUUUGGAAGGGUUUUCUGGUCAUUUGGUCCUGCAAUAGAAGGGUUCAAGCAUUGUAGACCAUUAAUUCAGAUCGACGGAACCCAUUUAUAUGAAAAGUAUAAGGGAAAAAUGUUAACUGCCUUAUCGAUUGAUGCAAAUGGUCAUAUAUUUCCUCUUGCAUUUGCUAUAGUGGAAGGGGAAAACACGUCUAGUUGGUCAUGGUUUCUUCAUGCACUUCGCGAAUACGUUACUGAUCGAUAUGGUAUUUGCUUGAUCUCUGAUAGACAUAGGGGCAUUCUUUCUGCCAUUAAAAAUGAAGAGGUAGGUUGGAGUGAACCUCGAGCUGUCCAUCGAUAUUGUCUUCGUCAUGUUGCUAGCAACUUCAAUCAGAAAUAUAAAUCAAAGCAACUGAAAGACUUGGUGUUUAGGGCAGGUAAUCAACACCAAAGGCGCAAAUUUAUAAAAAUAAUGAAAGAACUACAACGAUUGAACCCAGAGUGUCUUGAGUUUUUUGAAGAUAUUGACGUGGAAAAAUGGACUCAGUCACAUGACAAUGGGUCUCGAUAUGGGUGGAUGACAAGCAAUGCAGCUGAAUGUAUGAACGGUGUAUUUAAAGGAGCUCGAAUGUUACCCAUCACUUCUUUGGUUAGACUAACAUUUUAUCUCACAAUCCUUUAUUUCGAACGUCGGUGAGCUGAGAUAAGUGAAGCACUCGAUCGUGGUGAUAUUUAUACGGAAUAUGCGAUAAGAAAGCUUAAGAAGUGGGAAAAAUGAGCUUCUGCACAUUCAGUGACAUCCAUUGAUAGAGAAAUCCAGACAUUUGAGGUUCACACGGGUAUGAGUAUAAUUUCUCCAUACAAAGGCCAACACACACAGGUAGUAAGUUUGAUGGAAGGGACAUGUUCUUGCAAUAAGUGGCAGUCGUUUAAGAUUCUGUGUUCACAUGUAAUUGCAGUUUGUAAUUACAUGCACUUGACAUACGUACUGUCGCGACGUGAUCGCUACGCGGAGCGGCCGACCUUCCCGUUUAUUUAAUUUUAAUAAAUAGUUUUGGAGUCGCCACCAACCAUAUUAGGGUGUGAUUGGUCACCCAAAAAAAAAGAAAAAAAAAUGGUCUGCGUACAUUCAGAGAUUUAAGUUCGGGAGUCAGUUGUGUGUAGGGAAGGUGUUAGCACCCUACAACACCCAAAAAAUGGUUACCCAAUUUUAUCUUUUAAAUUAAAUUAUAGAGGUUCACAAAACAAAGUUUUUAUUUAGGUUUUGUUUAAAUGUCCCAUGUUUAUCAAUUCAUAUCGAAGAAAGUAAAACCUAAGCAUGAAUUGAUGAUUAUGGGUGGCAUAGGAGCCAUUAGAAAAAUUAAGUUUAUUUUUGUUUUAAAAGAUUUUUAUUCACCUUAAGAAUAUUAAGAUACCAAAACUUGAUAUUUUAAUCUCUAUCAUAGGUGUUUAAUGAAAAAUUUCAUAUAUCUAGAAUUAAUAAAUUCAUAGAAAAUACUACUCAGUCUCAUUUAAAAUAUGAAAUGUGUUAAUUUAAAAAACAAUCUAUUAAUUAAAUUUCAAAAGGAAAAAUUUCAUGUAUUUAUGGAUUUUAAAUUAUAAAAUCCAUAAAAAAAAUAAUACUUUUUCUCCAAUUUACGUUAUUAUAUUUAAAUAAAAAAAGAAUAAUAACAAUGGCAAAACAUUAUGAAAUUUGAAAAAAUACUUAGAAGUAAUAUGCUGAGAUAAAAUAAAUACAUUGAUAAUAUAUGCAAAAUGUAAAAGAUAUUAAUGUAGGAUGCAAGAUAAUUAAUUAAUACAAACACAUGCAACAUAAUUAAUUAAAUCAAAAUGAUGCAAAAUAAUUGAUUAAUGCAAGAUGCAAAAUAAUUGAUUAAUGCAAGAUGCAAAAUAAUUGAUUAAUGCAUAAUUAAACGAUGGCCAAAUGAAUAUCAAAUAAUAAUUAACAGUUGAAUGCCAAAGUAGGUUUGGCCCAAUAUGCAAAUAAAUAAUAUUGCAAAUAAACGAUCACACCAAAAUGAAUAUCAAAUAAUUAUAGCCACAUAUGCAUACUGAUUAACUAAUACAUCAUGCAAAUAAUUAGAAUGAGGGAGUGAAAAUGUCACAUACAAGUUGCUAAUUAAUUAAUAGGCCAAAUGAAAAAUGGUUGUUGCCAAAUAUUAAUUAUAUCAUGCAUAAUUAUUAACAUGAAUAAUAUAUGGAUAGCAGUAAUUAUUAUUAACGGAGUAUGCCAUAUGGAUACAUGGAUAAAGUAAUUAACAAAGACUGUAAAAUUGAUGCCAAUGAAGAAUGAGUAUUACCAAAUACAGGAUGUUAAUUGAUUAAUUAUGUAUAAUUAUUAAAACAUGUUAUAUGGACAUAAGUAAUUAACUGUAAAAUGGGUGCCAAUAAAGAAUGAGUAUUACCAAGAAGGCUAAUUGAUUAAUUAUGCAUAAUUAUUAAGGCAUGCCAUAUGGAUAUAAGUAAUUAACUGUAAAAUGGGUGUCAAUGAAGAAUGAGUAUCCAAAUACAAAUAUAUGAUGCUAAUUAAUUAAAAAGAAAUUAACACAGAAUGGAUGCCUAGUAAUAAAAGAAAAUUAACACAGAAUGGAUGCCCAAUAAUAAAAGAAAAUUAACACAGAAUGGAUACCCAACAAUUAAAAAGAAAUUAAUACAGAAUGGAUACCCAACCGUUAAAAAGAAAUUAACACAGAACAGAAUGGAUACCCAAUAUUUAAAAAGAAAUUAACACAGAACAGAAUGCUCAAUAUUUAAAAACAAAAAAUAAAAAAUUUAAUAUAGAAUGGAAGGUAGAAUGCUCAGUAUUAAGAAAGAUACAAAUAAUAAAAUUAACAUGUUAAAUGAUGGUAAAAUGAUGAACACGAUAGUUCAUAAUUAAAAGCAGUAUAUCAAACAAGAAAAAAAAAAUCAUUAAACAAGAAUAAGAACAAAAAGAGGAAAAAGAAAAAAAACUUACCAGCAGGUCUGCCCUUCAAUGCCAAAGGUUAUUCCUUUUGAUCUUCUUUCACUCUUCACCUCUUUCUAAAUCCUCCAAUAAUAAAAAAAAAGAUCCUCCCUUCUUUCUUUUUCCUCUUUCCUUUUUAUAGGGCAAACUCCAUUGUUUUUUUUAGAUCACGAGAUGGAGUGCAGAUUACAGAGAAAUAGGAAGAAAGUGGGAGAGUGGGAGAAAGUGAUAGAGUGGGAGAAAGUGGGAGAGUGAUGACGAAGAAAAAGGGAUGAUUGAGAAAAAAUAGGAAGGAAAUCAAACCUUUUAGUUUUAUUUUUAUUAUUUAUUUUUAAAUGUAUUUAUUAUUAUUAUUAUUGUUUUUUCAAAUAUAAAUUUAAGAUUCAAAUUCAAAUUCAAAUUCAAAUUCAAAUUCUUUUUCUUUUCUUUUUUUUUUCUUUUUUCUUUUAUAAUAAAUAAAUAUAGGACAAAAUACGGUAUCUACACGUACCAUACAUUGAUGAAUGCUACUUGUUGUCGACAUUCAAACGUUGUUAUGACGGUCGCUUCCAUCCAAUCCAACACUCAGAUUAUUGGCCAGAGAUAUCAUUCACUGAAGUUCGCCCCAAUGCGGACUUACUUAAAGGACCCGGUCGACCAAGAACUACAAGGAUCCAAAAUGAAAUGGAUUGGAAAGAGUCUAGUCAAUCAAUUAGAUGCACGAUCUGUAAAGUAGAAGGACAUAACAGACGUACUUGUCCUCAACGUGCUUCUUCUUCAAGACACUGAUAUGUAAUUAUUUUAGGGUUUGAUGUAAGUAUUAAUGCAUGACUUCUAUGUAAUUGUUUGAUGUAUAUCUUAAUAUUUGAUGAAUAGUUUUAUUAUAAUUUAUUGGUAUGUAAAAUUAACAACUUAAAUUUAUAAUAUUGUAAUCAUGUAAUGGAAUUUGGGUCAAUUGAUCCUCAUAGUAUUUUGAUAUUUUUUAGGUUAUUUGCAUAAUGGAACCUGGGUCGAGUGAUCCUACACAGCUAUAUCUACAACCAUCCCAUCGUUAACAGUCUAUAUGGGAGGCCUCCUCCACAGUUGUUUUGAGUUGUCGACGAAGAGAGGCAGCAUCUCAGCGUACGAUCCCAUUUGAUCAGCGUAUUGUACCAUAUUUAGAGGCUGCUGGAUUUCUAGGGGCUUCCCAAAUAGGAUUUAUGUAGUUGGACUGACAUUUGAUUACUGCUUUGGUCGAGCGUUGGAGACCAAAGACCCACACAUUUCAUAUGCCUUGUGGGGAAUGCACGAUCACCCUACAGGAUGUUGCAGUUCAGUUAGGGUUACCUGUGGAUGGUGAGCCUGUGGUAGGGUCGUUAUUAUAUGACUGGAAGGUACUAUGUGAGGAUUACUUGGGAGUUCGUCCACCUGAAAUGAAUGGUCAACGAUUGAGCCUUCCUUGGUUGGCAUAACAGUUCACAGAAUUGCCACCGGAUGCUGAUGUAGUGAGCGUUCAAAGAUACGCUCGUGCAUACAUUAUGCAGUUAAUUGGAGGCUUUCUAUUUGCAGACAAAUCAAACACCCUGGUCCACUGUAUGUUCCUCCCACUUUUAAUUAAUUUUGACCAGGCUGGUACGUAUGCUUGGGGCGCUGCAUGCCUCGCAUGGUUGUAUAGGGAAUUGUGUCGAGCGAGUAAUGCACGAUCUUUAGAGAUUGCUGGCCCAUUAAUAUUGUUGCAAGUAUGGGCGUAUAACAGAUUUCCUAUUCUGGCACCACAAGUACCUGUUGAGGUGUCAGUUGGUCGACCUUUGGGUUUCAGGUAUUAUAUAUAUAUAUAUAUAUAUAUAAUUUUUUAGUAAAAUUUGCAGAGUUUAUAACUUAUUAAUGAUUUCAUUUCACACAUUAGAUGGAGCGGCGUUAUACCAUUGUCAGAACUGUCUGCAAAUAUGUUGAUCACCUACCGAAUGUUUUUUGAUCGGCUGAUCAACUCUCAGGUAGUAAAAUAUUAUACCAAUAUUGCGUAGGCAUGUUUUUUGUUGUUUUCUUAUGUUCGUUUUUUUUAACAAAUUAAUUGGACACCAUACACGUCCCACAUUAUGGCAUUGCUUCCACGUCAAUGUUAUAACGGUCAAGCGAUGUGGACAUAUGUGGGUCCUAUGAUUUGCUUUCAUCUCGUUGAGAAGCAUCAAGCAGAUCGUGUAUUGCGCACAGUUCCAUAUGCUACAAAUGCCACCAGAGUUUUGCUCCACAGAUCAGGGCCUACACCAAAUUGAUUUAAGAGACAAGCACGAUCAAGAUUGGAGUAGGAUUCAUGUAGAGCAUAUAGCAAUGUGGCAUUCACGAAAUAAUUUUUGUGCCGAAGCAGAAGCAACACAGAAGCCGAUAGUAUCAGAUAACUACUUUUCCUGGUACACGUCGAUUACCCGACGCUUCAUGACACCUGAUGGCGCUUACUGUUAUCGCAUGGUAAUAGUUUUAAUAUGAUUUAUAAAUUUAAUACAAGCAUGAACAUUUUUUAAUUAUAUUAUUUACAAUCGUUCAGAAUAAUUUUGUUGAAAACGUACGUCGAGUCUCCAUGGAAAACAAUUUUGAAAUUUUUAGUCCAAUGUGUGACGAUGUCAUGGGAGAUAUAGACAGCCUUGUUCAGCAGACUCGACGUUUAAAUGUUGCCGACACAGAUCGUAGACGCAUUCGACGGCGACGACGACGACAAGGCGAUGAUGUCGUAGAGGGAGAUGGGGAAGCUUCUUAAGUUGUAUAAUUUAAGUGUUUUUAAAUUUUGCUAGAACUUAUUCAAGUUGUAUAAAUAAAAAGUUGAACUUUUUUAAAUUAAUUAUAAAUUAGAAGUUGCUAAUACAUGAUUUAGAUGUAGGAGUAUUCUUAAUAAUAUCAAUAUAUAAUAUAUAUUUUUUAAAAGUAGAGAACCAAGUAUUAAAAAAAACGUUCAAAAUUCUUAUAAGAUAUCACUAAUGAUGUGUUUACCUUUGGUUUAUUUUUUUAAUUUGUUCAUAAUAAACAUAAACUACCAAAAAUUUGGCCAUUUAAACAAAAACUAAAAUUUUCACAUAUUUAAAGUUGAAGAUUUAAACAAAAACAUAAAUUUCCAACUACCCUAAUUUUGAAAAUACUUUUUAAAAACACAUUAUUUUAAAAACAAAUCCAUCUUUCACAAAUGUUUUUACCCUAAAAAUAGUUAAUCUUUUAAAAUAUAAUAAUUUUAAAAACAAUUAUUUAGGAAGUCGUGUACCCCGUACACGACUUCCGUCCACGGGGUUCAAACUCGUGCAUACGUGGCGGCGAAGUGGUCAAAUGUGCUGACAUGUUUUUGAAAAUAGUUUGGGAAGCAACCUUAUUCUUAUAAUUUCUUUCCCAACAACCCUAUUUUUCAAAAUAUUUUCACAAAACACAUUAUUUAAAAAAAAAAAACCAAAGAAAAAUGGUAGAGUGGUGGCAACCUCUUAAAAGAAAUAAAAAUGAUCAUCGUAAUAACAACAACAACAAUAAUAAAAACAAGUAAAAAGAAAAAAACCGUAAUAGUAAUAAAAUAAAAUAUAAUAAUAAUAAUGGUAAUAACGAUAGUAAUGAUAAAAUUUUCUUUAUCUUCAUUAUUUCUCUCUAUAUUUUAGAGAAAAGAAAAUAAAGGUUAAGAGUUGAAAUUUUUUAAAAAAUAAUGGCAUACAGAUAAAUAAAAAAGGAACAUUUUUCUUAGAUCGUUUUUUUUCUCCCUACUUCUUUUAGAGAGAAUAAAAAGACUAAAGAAUUUUUUUAAAAUGAUGAUAAAAGAAAAAAAAGUGUAAAAAAUUACUAAAACUUUCCUACAUUUUCUUUUCUUUCUCUUUUAUCUUUUAAAAGGGAGAAGGAAAGAAAAAUAAGGAUUCGAAUCCCAAAGAAAUUAUUUGUUGUCUGGGGUGCGGAUCCUUGGGAUUAAAUCUCUACCAAAUGCAACCUCCAACUAAGUUUAUUUCAACAUGAGAUUUGAUUUGCUUAAGAUAAAUUUUUUUAAAAUGUAGAGACAAUAAAGUAAUAAAAAGAAUAAGAAAAACUCACAUUUUGCAGAAUUUUUUUUACAGAGAUUCGCUCUAAAUAAUAAAAAAUUUUCUAAGCACUCUCUAAAGAUUUUUUUUCUCUCUGAGAAAUUUUAUUCCUCCUCUCCAAACGAUAAAUAUCCCUCUUUAUAGACUCGGGGUGUACUAUAGAUUAGAAAAAAUGAAUAAGAAUAAAAUCAAAAUUGGAUAUUAUGUUAAUAAAAUAAAUUUUUAUUUUCCUAAAAUAAAUUAAUUAAAUUAAAUUAGAUAUUUUGAGAUUUUGUGAAAAAUUAAUAAAUAAACUAAAUGGAUAUUAAAAGAUUUUUGUUUAAAAUUGAUUUUUUGCCCUAAAAUGAUACAAAUAAGUUAGAGAUUUUAUUAAUUUAUUUUUUCCUAAAAUGAGUAGAAAUAAGUUUUUAAAAAAUAUUUUAUUUAAAACUAAAUAACUUCUUUGAUAUUAAAAGAUUUAUUUAAAAUAAAUGAAUUUUGUUUUUAUUUCCUAAAACGAUAGAAAUGAGAUAUUAUGUUAUUACUAAUUUUUUACCUUUAUAAAAAAAUAAAAAAAUAAAAAUUUUAGUCAUUAUUACUAAUAUUAAUAUUUUAAAAAAGAUAUAUAUGUGUAGGAUAAAAAUAGGUGGCUACACAAGUGAAGUUCUAAAAUUGCAUGUGCUUUAGGGCCUUGUACGUAUAUUCCAAUUUAGUGGAUGCUCUAUAGAAUUUACCCAGAAUUUCAUAGGAAACGACCCUCACUUCCACAAGAAUACUCUUGUAGCCAGGUACUCUACUUGAUAUCAAGUAUAUGAUUCGUUAAGAACCAAGUUCAACUUUUUCAUGUGCUUCAAGAUAUCAUGCUAAUCACUCAUUCAUGUGAAUGGAACUUCUAUAGGUUUCUUAGCAUGAUUCUCUUCAUAUCACUUGUGAUCAGUUAUUACUCAUUAAACUUGUUUUUUGGGAUUUCCAGUUUUUCAAGUUGGGUUUACCUCACAAGUAAUUCAUUUUUCUAUAGGUUUAAGUCUCAUUCAUUUUGAGGUUUUAAAAAUCGUCUGUCUAGCUAGUCCUUUCAUCAAAAGAUCAGCCAAGUUGUCAUUAGACAGUACAUAAUCCACUAUCACUGCACCAAUAGUGAGAAAUUCUCUAAUGGUACUAUGUUUACGAUGUAUUUGCCAUCUCUUACGGUUGCAAUAAUAGUAUUGAACUUUUGCAAUAGGCGCAAUACUAUCACAAUGGAUUAGUAUGGUUGGUCUUGAUCUUUUCCAUGUGAGAAUCUCUGAUAGCAAGCUUCAAAGCCAGUUUGCUUCUUCACUUGUAGUAGCUAGUGCUAUCAUUUCUAACUCCAUCAUUAACUAGUCUAAGAUGGUUUGUUUCUUGGAUUUGCAAGUAACAACUCCUCGUGCUAUCUUAAAAAUAUAGCCACUUGUAGCCUUUGAGUCAUCUAAGAGGGAGUUCCAAUCAACAUCAUUAUAACCUUCUAGUACAAUAGGAAACUUUUGAUAAUGUAAUCCUAGGUUUUUGGUUUGCUUAAAAUAUUUCAUUACUCUUUCUAAAGCAUUCCAGUGUUCUAGGCUAGGUCUGCUAGUAAACCUACAUAGUAGCCCUAUAACAUAAGCUAUGUCUGGUCUAAUGCUAACAUGUCUCAGACUUCUUACAAUGCCCGCAUAUUUAGAUUGAUUAACAUUGUCGUCAGUGUUUUUUAACAACUUAACACUAAAUUCAUGGGGUGUAUAGACUGGUUUGUUUUCAAAGUAGUUCUACUUCUUUAGGAUCUUCUCUAUGUAUUGGGAUUGAUCUAAUGAAAUUUUCUUUUCAGUUAUAGUAAUUUUGAUACCUAGGAUUACAUUAGCUUCUUCUAAUUCUUUCAUGUCAAAUUUUCACUCAGCGUUGAUUUUGCAUCAUUUAUGACGUUCAAGUUUGAUCCAAAUAUUAACAUGUAAUCUACAUAUAAGCAUAUGAUAGUGCAUAAACCAUUCUUAGUCUUAUAGUAGAUGCAUUUAUCACUCUCAUUUACUUUGAAUCCUUUAGACAUUGUUAGAUUAUCGAACUUUUCGUGCCAUUGCUUAGGAUCUUGUUUUAGGCCACAGAGGGAUUUAUCUAAUUUAUAAACUUUAGAUUCUUGACCAUGAACUAUGAAACUUUUAGGUUGUUCAAUAUAGAUCUUUUCUUCUAAAUCAUCGUUUAGGAAGGAAGUCUUAACAUCCAACUGAUGUAUUAAGAGAUUGUUCAAGGUAACUAUAGAAAUCAACACUCUAAUUAAGGUGAUUCUAGUGAGUGGGAGAAAGUGUCGAAAAAUCUAUGUUUUUCCUCUGUUUAAAACCUUUUGCUACAAAUUUGGUAUGUAAGAUGUAUUUCGGGGUAGGUCAACUAAGUGUCGAGUACUGUUUGAUUCACAAAUGUAUGUAUUUUUUUUUAUUCUACAAAUUUUAUAACUUUUCAAAAAUAUAUCAUGAUUUAUUUUUUACGUUGAUAAACAUAUUGAAAAGUGAAAAUAUACAUCUCAUAUAUUAUUUGGUAUGUAAGAUGAUAUAUUGUAAAAUAGUUAUAUCUGUACAUUUAUUUGGUUUAGUUAUUAAUUUGAAAUAUAUAUCAUGUUUACAUCAAAUAUAAUUAUAACAAUUAUAGAAUUUUAGCAAGUAACACAACAAUAAGAUAUAUAUUUUAUGUACUUUCUCUCAUAUAUACACAUAUAUAUUUAAUUAUUUUGAACAUAUAUACAUCAUAUUAUAUAAUAAACAACUAUGUAAUAAUGAUGUUUUAUAUAAAACCUCGUAUAUCCUAAAAACCCAAUUAAUCAGAUCCAAUAAUAUCCAAUGUAACAAAAUUAACUGUUAAUGACUAUUCGUUUCACAUACUCUAUAUAUCGAGUUUUUUUGUAUGCUAGCAUAUAUUAAAUGUGUAGUUUCAGAUUGAUUUCAACGAAUAAUUUAAAAAAUAUAAUGUGUUAAGUUAGAAACAAAAAUUUAAAUAUAAAAAUAAUAUUGUCAUUGAAUAUAAUAUAUUUAGCAGAAGUUCAAUGAAAAUUACGAACAAUAUACUGAAAUAUUGUUUUAGAAAACAUAAUUUUAUAAACUAUUGUGUAACUUUUGAAAUGAUGUCUAUUCAUGGACUAAAAUAUACUGAAAUAUUGGUCAUACCUAAUAUAAUGUGAUAUAUACAUAUAUAUUGUAACGUAAUAAUGAACAAACAUGUAAACCGAACCCAACUUCAAAUACUACAAAAAUUUCUGAAAUAUUAUUUAAAUAUAUGAAAAAUAUUACAAUUUGGAUGUAAUAUAAUCGUUAUAAAUUGAAACUAUAUUCCUCUCAAAAUGAACAAAAUUAAUCUUUACUAAUAUAAGAAAAAUCAAUUGAAAUAUCUAAAAAUUCAUUGUAAUAAUCAUUUCAAAAAUACACUCUUCAUGCGAAAGAUUCAUUUCAAUAACAAAAAAGCAAUGAUAAAGGAAUACAAGAUUUGACCGGAAGAAGAAAAAAUAGACGAAGAGAGAGUUUAGCUGAAAUAUUAUAAAUAAUAUAUCAUAAUUAGAUAUGAUCACUCAUAAAUGCAAACAAAUAAAUUAAAUAAUUAAUAGUAUGAAUAUGUAAGUUUUAGUAUUCAUAAUAAAUUACAGUAAAUAAAUAUAUUAAUUUUCAUGUAUAUCUUUUAUUUUAAAUUAAUGGUAAGUCAAAUAUGUCCAAAAAAAACUUGCUAAAUCUUAUGACAUCCAAAUAAUUUAGAAUUUAAGAUAUUUGUGAAAUAUUGUAAACAUUGGCAUUCCUUUAAAUUUUUCUUUAUUUUAAAAAUGACGACUCAAGAAUUAAAUUCCAUUUGAAGUUGAACAAAUUUUGAUUUUCAUGGAGUAUUAAUUUAAAUCCAACUUAGAUUUAGGAAAUCUUACUUCCAACCUUUAGGUGGAGUUUUCAAGGUUCUUUGUUGAGUUAUUAUAAUUAAAAUUAGUUUGUUUUAUUAAUUAGAAUUAUGAUUAGUUUGUUUUCAACUUUAAAAUUAGAGCACUUGCAAAAAUGACAAAAUAAGUUAUAAUAAUUAAGUCCAUAACACACACACUUUAUUAUUUGAGAAAAUGACAAAAACGAAUCUCAACCCACGCAUCAAAAGGUCACAAAUAUCUUCGUUACUAAUAUACGUUUGAUACAUCUUAUACACGUUUGAUAUACCUAAAUACACUCCUUGAUACACCUGAUAAUUCUUGAUACACCUGAUACAUUUGAUUGAUACAUUUGAUGCAUAUGAUAUUUUUUUAUGCACUCGAUACCUUUUGAUACACACCUGAAACAUUACUAAUAUAUGUUUGAUAUACCUGAUACACUGCAGAUACAUUUAAUAUUCUUCACUUAUAUAAUUGAUUGAUUAAAUGCACUUGAUAUGUUUGAAGUUCUACUUAUACACUUGAUAUACUAUUGUAAACUUGAUUCAUAUAUUCGAUAAUGAUUCAUUUUAUUGAUAUGUUUUAACAAUAUAUUGUUGAUAUAUUUGAUAACAAUACACUGAGUUACAUCAUUCAUAUACUUAAUAAUACUCUAAUCAACUGCAUAAAAUUUGAAAAAAUAAAAAUCACGUGGUAAGUAUAUCACAACAGUGAUAUACGAAACUGAGACAAAGUAAAACAAAAAAUUGAUGUGAAAAAAUAAAACAAAAAUAUUUGAAAUUAGAUUCAACUCAAAAUACACACAAAGAAAGUAAAAAAAAAAUCACAAAUGAUAUUAAAUUAUUAUGAUCAACAACCAUUAUAUUAUAUUUCAUAUUGCAAUUAUCAGAUAUUUAAUUUAAGACAUAAAUAAUAAAUAAUUUUUAUAAUAUAAAAAUAAAAAAUAAUUAGGACCUUAAAAAGUGGGAGAAUAAAUAAACAAUGAGUAGGACAUUAAAAAGAUGAGGAGAAAUAAGUUAUUGAAUGAUAGUUUAGGAAUAAUAACAAAUUUAAGAUGGAGAAGUGAAAAUUUUGCCAUAUUUGCAAAAUUCUAAAACAAUGUGUUAUAAUUGCUAUAUUAUAUUAUCAAAAUGCUAUCAUAUCCAAUUUUCCUUUAAAUUUUUUUCUCUUAAGUUUUCUGUUUUGAUAACAAACCUUUUUUUUAAAAGAAUAAUGUUAUUUUAAAAUUUAAUGUAAAAAAUAGGGUAGAGGAAAACUAUUGAUAAAAAUAGGAUAGCUGUGGGUGAAGUUGUGGACAGGCUGAGUUAGCAAUCAAAGUCGUGGACUAUGGUCGUGUGGACCCCACACCUUUCUCUUUUUUUUUUUUAUUAUUUAUAUAUAUUAAAUAUUUCAAUUCUAAAAAUACCUUUCCUUAUUAAAAUUAAUAUCAACUUUCAAAUUUUAAUUUAUUAUUUUUAUUUUUUCUUUUUCUAUACAUAUUAAAUAUCUCAAUAUUCAAUAUUUAUUAUUAAAUUCACAUUUUCUAAUUUAAUCUGAUUGUUUUUUAAUCAUUACGUAUCUUCUUUUUCAAUUUCCAAUUCUUGAUACACCGUAUUAACAAAAUAUGUUAUUAUACAAAUUAAAAUAGUAAUAAUAAUAAUGAAGAGAAGUUGAAGUUUACUUAAAAAAAUAAAAUAAUAAUAAUAACUAUUAAAGUUACCAAUGUACAUCGUUCAUGUGGAUAAUUGAAUAUAAAAUUUUAAUGUUUAUGACAAGAAAAAAAAGUAGGAAUCGUGAAAUAAUUUAAAGCUGAUCGAUAGAAAUCAUGGUUCGAUUGCAAAUUGAAUUUAAAAAAUCUAACCUAAUCAAAUUAGAAACUAUCUAUUAUUAUUAUUACCCGGAAUUUAUUGUUGUAUCUUAUUAAUUUAAUCAUAAUACUGGGAUGAAUAUUUUUUUAUAGCAAUUUGGUCAUUUAAAAUAUUUUUUUAGAUUUUUAUUUAUUAAUUAGUUUUUUUAAGUACUUAGUUUAAUUUUAAAAUGAACAAAAUAUUAUUUUUAGGUAAUAUAAAUAAAUAUAUAUACACGUGCUAAGAAAAUUACUCAUAAAUUAGGGUCUUUUAAUCUCUAGACUCGAAAUAAGAAAAAAUAAUUUAAUAGUAAAAAAAAAGCUAACUGAAAAUAAUAAUACUUUAGUUAAAAUUGAAUAUAUAUAUAUAUAUAUAUAUAUAUAUAUAUAAAUAAAGAAAAAGAAUAAAUUAAAUUUGGAAAGUUGUCCUUAUUAACAAAUAUAUUUUUAGAAUUAGAAUAUUUAAUUAAAAUAUAUAAACACAAGACCGAAUCAUAAAACUGACCAACAACAAUCGAAGUAGAUUUUAAAAAUCUCACAAAGUAACCAAUAACCAUCAAGCUCACCAUCUCAUCUUUUUUUUUUUUUUGUUUUUGUUUUUCUUUUACUCAUUCCAAGGAUCUCACCUUUUGUUGCUUUCAUUUGAUGUGCGAACUAUUUUCGACAAGUGCGUCAAAAUUAAACCCACCUCUAUCCAUUGCUCAUGCCAUAUGGACUUUUGGCAAUACUCACACAUUUAAGCAUUUGGUAGAUGAAAUUACACAUUGAAUUGAGUUGUAUGUUUAUAGAACCUUUCAAAACACCAUUAAUUAAAAUAACAAAAUAGAAGAAACUUAACUUUGACCUACUUUUUAAGAACGUUUUUCAAUUUUGAGGAUUACAUUACAUGUCUUAUAUUUAAGGGUUUUUAACUAGAAUAGCCUGAGUAGGAAUCUCUAUUCAAUAUAUUUAUUUUCAUUUAAUUUUAAGAUUUUCAUUUAUUAGAUGUCCUAAGCAAAUAUGAAAUAUGGUGUAUAAUUAAUUCAGUUAAUACAAGAUUCUAAUUUAUUCCAUAUUUGUAAUCAAUACAUAUUUAUUUCAUAUAAUUAAUUUUAUUUAUGAAAUUGUGAAUUAUAGUAUGCGUGAAAAAUUUUGACCAAGUUUUCCGAUUAAAAAAAUUUGCAGUGAAUGAAGUAUACAUGUCACUUACUUUCUUUUCGUUUUGUAUUGUUUUUCAUAUAUAACAUGUACUUUACUACUUUAUGAUUUACAAUCAUUAUAUUACAUCUAUUUUGCAUUGUUUUUUAUAUAUCGAAAGUUAAUUUGAUAAAUUCUGUAUAGUAUAAUAAAUUGAUUUCGAUUUAAAUUGAAUCGUAUAUACUUGUAUAUAUUUUAAAUAAUAUUGUAUAGUGAUAUAAUUAUAUUACAUCUAUUUCCAGUGGGUGCAUAUGUAUGUUUUAAAUAAUACCCAUACAUAUUUUAAAUAAUAAUGUAAAGUCAUUUGAUUAUAUAUUUACUUGUAUAUACACUACACAAUAUUAUUUAAAAAUUUUGGAACUUGAUUCGUGUGGAUGGAUAAUGAAAUGAAAUCCUCGAGCAAAUUUGGUAAGGAUGGGUAUGGAAAAUGAAAUGGAAAGUGAGGAUGGACACGGGGAAUGACAUUUUUGAUCGUCGCGUCACAUCUCUAAUCACAAAUUCUUGCUUAAUUUUUUUUUUUUUUCAUUUGAAUCAAGUGGUUUGAGUUUGAAAGUUACAUGAAAAGUUAAAUAAAAUUAAUCUAAAAUUUCGAUAAUUAAUUUACUUUGUAAAUAAAAAAUCUUUAAAAAAAACCCAAAAUUACAAGGUAUUAUUUGUUUAUAAAAACAAAAAUUAUUCUAAGCCUGGAUGGGGUUCUUUUCACCCUUCCCUCACAAUACAAUUUUUUAUGUUAUUUGUUGAUAAAUAAAAAUAAAUUUAUAUAAUCUAAAAUUUUGAGAUAAUAUUUGUUAGAUAAUGGUUGUGAAUAAACAAAUUAAAAAAUAUUUAAAAGUUUGAAAUUUAAAAUAUAAAAAAGAAUUCUAUAAUUGUUUUGUUUUUUUAAUCAAUUUUCCCUUUUAGAAUGUGUAAUUUUCUUUUAAUUAAUAAUAAAUAUUGGUUGCCCAAUUUCAAAUUCUCAAUUGGAAUGUGACGAGAACUAAAGAAAAUAAUGAGCAUAAACUUCAAGCUUCCAUCUCAUAUAACUGAUAUAAUUUUCUCCAAAAUUUUAAUGGAAAAUUUCUUCCUAUUAAUCGUUAGUCUCGAACUAUAUACUUUCUUCUUGGAUUGUCAAGAAGAAUAACAAAUUAUGAAUUUUACUUUGGGAAAAUAGCAAAUUUAUUUUUAAAUUGUUAGAAUAACAAAAUUGAAAAAUCUAAAAAAAUAAAUAAAUUGAACAAUGUCUCAAAUGCCUCUAGCCAAUUCAAAAACAGUACUAAAUACAAUUGUUCACGUAAAUCUCAAAUACCCUGUAAUUAAAUAACACAUCCUUGUUGAAUUGUGCACGUUUAGGUAUUCAAAGCAGAAAAGAAUCCAACUUCACUAUCUUCCACUUUCCUAGAUUCUACAAAAUCUUCAAAGUCUUCGAUCAGUUGCAAAAAAUAUUGGAGCUUCAAGUUUCGUCCUCCUCAAAACCUUCAAAGUCUUCAUAUAUUCAGCGCAAAUCAAAGGGUUUUCUUAACUUCAAGAGGUAAUUAAGAAAAAGUACAACAAAACUCCAACAAUCACAAAAUCACUAAAAUCUGGCGACUAACGAUGGCUGGAAGUUUUGGCAGAACCGGUGAACGAAUGGUGAUGAAGGAGAUCGACGCGGCUGGACAUGCGAUGCAUGAAGGAACAAGCAACGCAAAGGCGCUCGGCUUCGGAUGAAGUAAAAAUGCGACUAGCGACGUGUAGCAGAGGAGACGUUUCCUUACGACUUAGUUCUCAGUGAACAGAAUGGAGGGGAUGGCUACAAAGGGGAAGAUCUCGACUGAACGCAGAACACUCGAACGAAGAUGGAGGUGUCGACGGUGGCUAGAGUUUGGUGAGAGUGAAGAAGAUGAUUAAUAGUAAUAAUAAUAAAUAUUAUUAUAUUAUUCUUUUCCCUUAAAUAUCUUCUUUUUUCUUUUUUAAUUUAAAUAAAACAAAUCUUUUCUUCUUAAUUAAUUCCUUCCAAAAAUAAAAUAUUCAAUUUUUUGUAUAAAUUUUGAAAUAUAAAUAAUUCGAAAAUGUUAAAUUUAUGUUUGCCAUUAUUUUGAAAAUAUGAAGCAAAUAACACGAUUUUAGGGACUGAUAAAAAUUUUAAUAACACAAGUGGUAAUCUUAUCAUGAUUUUAGGGAUGAUAAAAUUUUAAAUUAAAAUUGUUAUUAACAAUAACUAUUUUUAUAAAAUUUUAAAGCAAUUUUAAUAUUUUGACAGUUUCAAAUAAAAAUUUAAAAUCUAUUUUUAAAAAACAAUUAUGGAAUAUAGAUGAGAGAUAUUAACAAGAUAACCUAAAAUUUUGAAAUUAUGUUUGAUAUGUUUUAGGGAAAUCAAUCGAGGAGCACAAUUAUAGGGAUAUCAAAUUUUUCUUAGAAUAAUUCUAUUAAAUGCGUUAUAAUUAUAGAGGUAAGAUACAAUCUUAAUUUCAAUUUAUUAUAUUAAAUAAAUUGUUAUUAAAAAUAUAAAAAGUUUAGGAAAUCAAUCAAGUACCCCGAUUAUAGGAAAAAUAUCAAAACUUUCUUAGAAUAAUCAUUGCAUCAUAAGUAUAGGGGUAAGAUACAAUUUUAAUUUUAACAACAAUAACUAAAUAAAUUGUUAAUUACUUGAUUUGAAACCUACAAACACAAAAAAUCUGGUAUAAAUUGCAGGCAUAAAUCUAGGGGAUGUUGAUUGAGAUCUAUCUCCAUAAUAAAAAUUUAUUUAAUAUUUUUACACAAUUGAAUUAUUCGCAAAUACACUGUAUCUGUCAUUCUCGGUUAUAUUCCAUCAUUUUAACCUACACAAAUACUUAUACCUCAGUUAAGAAUCUCUAUAUAUGUAAAAUCGGCUGAAAAUAUAAAAAAGUGAAAUUCUUGUAUUUUUUAGGUAUUUAAAUUCAAAUUUUUAUAAAUAUUUUGGAAUAUAAAUAAUCGAAAGAUAUAUUGAAUUUAUGUUUGCAAUUAUUUUAGGGAUAUCAACUAAACUAAAUAGCACGACUUUAUGAGUUGCUUUAAUAAAAUAAGUGGAUAAUCGUAAUUAGCACGAUUUUAGUGAAUGAUAAGAUUUUAAAUUCAAAUUGUUAUUAAGCAUAUGUAUUUUGGAGGUAUUUAAAUUCAAAAAAUGUUCAUAAAUAUUUUGAAAUAUAAAUAAUUAAAAAUGGUUGAAUUUAUGUUUGCUAUUAUUUUAGGGAUAUGAUUGUUUAAAAGAAUUUAGAUCGACGAUUUUAUUGGAUGUUAUAAAAUCUAACUUCAAAUUGUUAUUAGAAACAUGAAAAAUAUGUAUUACGUAUUAUAUAAUUAAAUAUUAAUAAAUAUUAAAAGGAAUCUUAUGAAACGGAAAAUGAUGAAAUUAUAUUAGAAUUCAAAUAGUCAUUACUAUAUAUAACCUCUAAAAAAAUUUGAAUUCAAAUAGUCAUUACUAUGCAUAUUAUGAAUUAAAGAAAUAAUUUGUUAAUUAAUUGAUUUGAAACCUAAAUUCCAAAAAACAUGUAUAAAUUGCACGCAUAAAUCUAAAGAAUGUUGAUGUAAUCUUAUAUAGUCCAAAAAUAAAAAGUUAUUUAAUAUUUUUCAAAAUUGAUGGUUUUUGCAAAUAUACUGUAUAUGUGAAUCUGUGAUAUUUUGUAUCAUUUUUUAUCUAUAUAAAUACAAUAUAUCUGACGGAAAAGAAUUUUCGUAUGCAAAAGGAUAUAAUCGGUUAAAAAAAAAAAGUAAAAAAGAAGUCUACAACCCCAAUUUUGCUAUAAAUCUCAAUAUUUUUUAAAUUUGCUAUUUUUCAAUUUAUUAUCAAAUUUGCUUCUACUUUGUGUUGGAAAAGCUUGUGGGCCUUUGACCCAAUGCAAAGUUACCUCUAUUGUUGUCCUACAUUGAUAAAGUUGGAAGAGACAAAUAAGUAUAAAUAGUUAAGUAUCACUUAGAUUACAAAUUGUGUUAAUGGUGAUAGUAUGAAUCUGUCACCACGUGCAUUGUUGUUGUCCGUCUUGGCAGGCAGGCUCGGACAACCAUGCUUGCGUGAAUAAGGAUGUAAUUUUUUAUACUCAUCCAAAUAGUUUUUUUUUUUUUGUUCCCCUAAGUGCCUUGCGACGUCUCACUCAGUGGCGUAGUCACUUAAGUCGCAAUUUGGGCCAGUUCUCCAGUCGUCUCGAAUUAUCGUUCUUCCACACUCCACGUUACUGUUCGUCCGUUGUUGAUCUUUCCUCCAUGCCUCGCUUUUAACGAAAUUUAAGAUGAUAGUUAAGGGGGACUCAAUUAUAAAUAAAGCCCUCCUCUAGUUCAUUUCAUUAAUUCGAUAUACACUCUCCUCCCUACCUUUCUCUCUAUCAAUACAAAGUUUUGAGCAAGAUCCUUCAUUGUUUCUAUUCUUAUUUCCAGCGAGUGCACGUCAGAAGUAGAGAGUUGUCUUAACCUUAGGAAGCAACCAACAUUACAAUUAGCAUCACGGUCUGGCCGAAUUUGCUUUCAGGACAGUGAUUCGUCACGGCACAGCAAGUCAUUUAGAUCGUCAUCCACGUAGAUUUUAUAACAAUCUGAAAGCAAAUUACAAUGUCGAUAAAAAAACAACAAAGUCCUACCAGACCUGUCCAAGUUGGGGCCACUCGACGGAGCGAACUACCGUUGCUAGUCCCAAAAGUUGCUGAUCUUUUUCAAACAGCUCGAAGUCAACUACGUCCUCACCAUCGAACCACCAACCGAUCCUCCAGCACCACCAACCAAUUCUCUAGCACCGUCUAAUCCAUAAUCAUCCACGGGACCCAUUGCUGUCACUGCCGACUACGUAAAGAAAGCGUCUGCAAUUGAUCCCGAGAAGUAUAAUAAGGACAACAAGACAGUUUGUGGGCAUAUGUUGAACCAUAUGUCAGAUCCGAUGUUUGACUUGUUUGUAAUCCAAAAAUCUACCAUGGACAUCUGGUGCAUUAUGGAGUUUCCUUAUGAUGGAGAUGACGCUGGAUGGAAGAAUUACGUCGUGGGAAAAUGGUUACAGUUCCAGGAAAAUGGUUACAGUUCCAGAUGAUAGAUGAUAAGCCAGCUGUGGAAUAAAUACAUGAGUAUGAAAAUCUAGUGGCAAAUCUCCUAUCGGAAGGUAUGAUGUGUGAGAUACUUCAAGCCAACGUUUUGCCGAAAUCACCUGAAGCACAAGAAGAAAGAUAUGAAACUCCAAGAUCUGAUAAAUCACAUGUGUACAAAAGAGGCCAACAAAUUAAAAGAUAAGUUAGCUUCCAAAUAUUUAAAUUCAAUUAAUGCUAACUUGGUUGAGUCUUCCUUUAUAAACAAAGACAUGAAAAAACAGAAUAAAAGGCAUAAUGGGAGAACCCCACAAAAAAUACAGUUCAAGGCUCAUUGAGGAAAAAUCAAGAAAAAAAAACUCACCUGCUAUGUCCGCGGAAAGGAAGGACACAAAUUCUAUUAGUGCAAUCAAAGGAAGGGGAAACCAAAGAACAAAAAACAAGCACCUCAAGCCAACCUUGCUGAACAUGAUGAAGUCAUAGCUGCAGUUGUGGAAGUGAACCUAAUUGAAAACAAGACUGAAUGGAUCCUGAAUACUGGAGCAUCAAGACACUUUUAUACCAAUCAAGAUCUUUUCCAUGACUACGAGGACAUUGUUGAUGGAGAAUACGUGUUCAUGGGAAACUCAGCCACCGCAAGAGUAAUCAAGAAAGGAAAGGUUAUUUUAAAUAUAACUUCUGGACAAAUUUUAUCCUUGAGUAAUGUUUUGUAUGUCCCUUUCCUAUGUAAGAACUUGGUGUCUGGGAGUUUGUUGGUAAGGGGUAUCUGUCUAAUGGUCUUUUUGUCCUUAAUACUAUUUUUAUGAAUGCAAAUACUUCUAGUUCUGCCUACAUAAUUGAAUCUAUUGAUCUGUGGCAUCAUAGACUAGGACACGUGAACUUUGUAUCAAUUAAGAAGCUUAAAAAUUUAAAACUAAUUAAUCCAUGUGAAUCGCAUGAAACUGGUAAAUGCCCUGUAUGCGUAGAAAGUAAGUACUUUAAGAAACCUUACAAACCUGUUAUGAUGAGAAGUACUGAAUUAUUAGAAUUGAUUCACUCGAAUCUAGCUUAUUUAAAAAAACACCCCUAGUAGAGGAGGCAAAAAUUGUGAUAUAUAUUUUGUUGAUGAUUUCUCUAGAUUUACUAAGGUUAAAUUAAAAGAUGAAGUUAGUAGCAUGUUUUUGAAAUUUAAGGCAGAGUUUGAAAAUCAACCAGACAAAAGGAUAAAACGAUUAAGUCAGAUAGAGAUGGUGAGUAUUCCGAUAGAACUCUAAAAGAAUAUUGUGAAUCAAAUGGUAUUAUUCAUGAAUUCAUUGCCCCUUACUCACCACAACAAAAUGACAUAGUAGAACGUAAAAAUAGAACUCUUAAAGAAAUGAUGAAUGCUAUGUUAUUAAACUCUGGUCUAUCUGACGAUAUGUGGGGGGAAGCUGUGUUGCUUGCAUGUUUUGUUCUUAACAGGGUUGCUCACAAAAAGCUGGACAAAACUCCCUACGAACUCUGGAAAGGAUACAAACCAAAUCUCAACUACUUGAAAGUGUGGGGAUGCUUGGCUAAGGUACCAUUUUCUGCACUAAGAAAUCCACAGUAGGGUCUAAAACCUUUGAUUGUAUAUUUAUCGAUUUAUGUGUUUGAAUGAUAAACACAUAAAUGAAUUUAGGGAUGCAAAAUUCUUUGAGCAUGUAUUUCCUUUAAAGAGAUCUUUGUUUGUUCCCUGUCCAUCGAAAAAACUGCAUGAUCUAGAGAACCCCAAAGUUGUUAGUGAAACACCUAAGUUAGAUACUUCUGGCAUAAGAUAUGAUUUAGAACCUAGAAUAAGUAAAAGACAGAGAAGUGAGAAAAGUUUCGGACCCGAUUUCCUAAGCACCUUUAUAGUAGAAAGGCACGAUGAAAUUGAUUGCAAUUUCACUAGCCUGUUUUUAAUUAAUGAAGAUCCUAAAACUUACCAAGAGGCCUUAAGCUCGGUAAAGUCCAGUAUAUGGAAGGAGGCUAUUAAAAGCGAGUUGAAUUCACUAACCAUGAAUCAAACAUGGGAAUUAGUAGACAUUCCUAAAGGAAGUAAACCAAUUAAGUGCAAGUGGAUCUUCAAAAGAAAAAUAAGACCAGAUGGAUCAAUAGAAAGAUACAAAGCAAGACUAGUAGUGAUAGAGUAUACUAAAAAACAAGGUAUUGAUUACUUUGAUACUUAUUCCCCUGUAACUAAGAUAACCAAGAGCCUUAAUUGCACUAGUUUCCAUUCACAACCUUCUUAUUCACCAAAUGGUGAUUUAGAAGAAGAAAUCUAUAUGACUCAACCAGAAGAAUUCAAAUUUCCUAGCCAAAGAAAACAAAGUAUGCAAACUUAAAAAAUCUCUCUGUGGUCUUAAGCAGACUCCUAAACAAUGGUAUGAAAAAUUUAAUGGCACUUUGAUAAACAUUGGAUUUAAGGUAAAUUCCUCGGAUACGCGCAUUUAUUCAAAGAUGUCUGGAGCUGAGUGCAUAUUAAUAUGUCUAUAUGUCGAUGACAUGUUAAUCUUUGGGACAAACUUGGAUUUAAUAUAGGACAUCAAGUUGUUCCUAUCAUCACACUUUGAAAUGGAAAACCUAGGUGAAGCAAACAUAAUUCUUGGAGUUAAAAUUAGGAAAAAUGAAAAACGGUUUAUCCUUGUCUCCAUCGCAAUACAUUGAGAAUUUACUAAAGAAAUUUGACUCCUUCGAUGUCUCUCCAUUGAAAACUCCCUAUGAUGCUCGUAAACAUCUUAAGAAGAACAAAUGAGAGAGUGUAUCUCGACUUGAAUAUGCAAAGAUCAUUGGUAGUGUUAUGUAUUUAAUGAACUACAUUAGACCUAAUAUUGCAUAUGUUGUCAGUAGAUUGAGUAUAUACACAUAAUUCUGAUAAAUACCACUGGGAUGCCUUACACCAUCUGUUGAAAUAUCUUAAAGGAACGGUAAAUUAUUGUUUGCACUUUAGUAAGUUUCCUGUUGUGUUAGAAGGAUAUUGUGAUGCAAACUGGGUUACAGAUAAUGAUGAGGUAAAUUCUACUAAUGGGUACAUAUUUUUCUCAGAGGAGGAGCAAUAUCUUGAAAAUAUGCAAACCAUACUUGCAUAGCCAUAUCCAUUAUGGAAUUUGAGUUUAUAGCAUUAGAGCUGGCAGGACAAGAGGCCGAGUGGAUUAAAAUUCUGGCAGAUCCUUUAACCAAGUGACUAUCAAGAAAAAUGGUUCUAGAUUCCUCAAUAAACAUGGGACUAGAGCCAUUUGGAGAUCCAUAGCACUUGAUUUUGGGUGGUCUAUUGAGAUAGACUUGAUGCUCUACAGCCUCUUAUUAGGUGGUCUGGUGUGACAGACUUGAUGGUUUAUAGCCCAUUUGUGCAGGCAGUUCUUUAUGGACUAGAUGGAUGCUACUAAAACCUUUAAGUGAUCCAUAAUUCUAUGGACAAUGGUGGAGUCUCUAUAGCUCUUAUUGAGUGUUUUGUUUUGGCAAACUUGAUGAAGCAUAUAACGUGAUUGUGAAGGUGGGGUUGCCUUCUAUGAAAGAGUUUAAGGACCUCUUUCUAGAGUUUUCACGAUGAAUCGAGGUUCAUUCUAUAUGCAUUGCCAUAAAGGCACAAAUCCAUAUUGUAGAAACGAUGACCAAAACUAGAAAUAAAGUGUGUCGUAAGGGUCUCAACCAGUGUUGAAGAAAGUUCAAGAUCUAAUUUCACUCUCUUUAACAAGGUUAUUGCCUUACUUCACUAUGCAUCAAUUCAAAUAUUUGGGUAUUGAUGUUUAAGCUUAAUGUCCCAUCCUUGCUCAAUUAACUUUCUCUCGACUAUUUUGUAACUUUGUCGCUACAAUCUUUUAUGGGAGAUUGUUGGAAAAGCUUGUGCGCCUUUGACCCAAUGCAAAGUUACCUCUAUUGUUGUCCCACAUUGAUAAAGUUGGAAGAGGCAAAUGAGUAUGAAUAGUUAAGUGCCACUAAAGGAAUACAAAUUGUGUUGAUAGUGAUAAUAUGACUCUGUCACCAUGCAUGUCGUUGUCCGUUUGGUUGGAUGGGUGGGCAGGCUUGGGCAACUGUGCUUGCACGAAUAAGGAUGCAAUUUUUUAUACUCAUCUCAAUAGUGAUGCAGUUGCUUAAGUCGCAAUUCGGGUCGAUCUCUCCUCCAUGCCUCACUUUUAACAAAAUUUAAGAUGGUAGUUGAGGGGGACUCCAUUAUAAAUAAAGCCCUCCUCCAGUUCAUUUCAUUCAUUCGAUGUACACUCUCCUCCCUACCUUUCUCUCUACCGAUACAAAGUUCUCCUCCCUACCUUUAUCUCUACCAAUACAAAGUUUUGAGCAAGAUCCUUCAUCGUUUCUAUUUCUAUUUUCUGACGAGUGCACAUCAGAAGUAGGGAGCUAUGUUAACCUUGGGGAGCAACUGACAUUAUGAUUAGCACCACGAUCUGGUCGAAUUUUCUUUUAGGGCAGUGAUUCAUCACGGUGCAGCAAGUCAUUUUGAUCGUCAUCCACGUAGAUUUUACAACACUUUGUUCAUCACGUGAGCAAUCAACUUUGUAUGGAUUGUGUCGACUCUCGUCACAAAUCCUCUCAACACACGAGUCUUUUAUCUUCAUUUACAUUUAAUCUUUCUAUUUGUUUCCAUAUUCGAAUCACAAAUUCAUGUGAUGGGUUGUUGUGUAUUAUUGAGGGAACAAAAUAUUAUAGUAGCUACUAUAAUAAAUCUGAUGACAAACCAAUAUGUUAUACUUUCAGAAUAUGAAGAAUGUUUGUACUUCAAAUUUAGAUUAGAAUUCAGUUCUAAAUCAAAUGAGUAUAAGUUAGCAAGAAUUUUCUCAAAAAAAUAUUUGCACCCUUGAAAUUAACUUUAGGAAAAUGAAUGGAGGCAUGCUAGUUAUUUGCCUAUUUUGUAUAUCGAUAAAGAUGAUGUUUUAAAUAACUGGCUGAUGUUAGCUAAUGAAUUAUGGACGUUAUGGUUUGUAGUUGACAAAUCGACAUGUCUACAGUUGUCUUAUUUAGAUGAUAUUUUAUGGAGGGACUGCUUUGUGAGAAUGGAGAGAUUUUGUGUCUAUUUAAUCAAAAUUAUUUGUUUUUAUAUGAUUUAAAGACCCAGAAAAUUGCAAAGACAUAUAAAUGUGAGGAGUAUUUAUCCUUUUAUGAGAUUAAGUCCAUAAAUUUUGAUUCGCAUCGCAAUAUCUUUGAAAAGUACUUCAUUAGUUAGGUUGUAUUGUAAAAUUUUUAUGUUGAAUAUAAUUAGUUUUGACUUACAAUUUUUAAAGUAGGUUCUUAUUUAAAAUUUAAUUUUAUUUAAAAUUUAAUAUUUUGUUUUUAUAUUUUUCAUGAAUAUGUUAACGAAAAUCAUUAAAAAAUAUAUAAAAUAUACAUUAUAAUAUAUGUGCAUAUUUGUUUCAUAUUAAUUUUUUUUAGUGAAGGGACAUAUUUGUUUCAUAUUAUUAAUUUAUUAAAAUAUAUAACUUUUUUACAUUUUCUAAAUUCAAAUUUUAAUAUCAUUGUUUAAGAGAUCUUUUAAGAAAUAGAACAAAGCAACAAAACAUUUAUACCGUAUAGGAUAAUUUUGAAAGCGAAAAAAGUCUACAGGCCCACGAUGAAAAAUUCAAAAAAUACCAUGUGAUUAAUUGACAUUCAACGCGGAAACAAUCGUUUACAUUUGGCUAUUCUUCCUUAAACGGUCGUUUAGAUUUAGAUAGCCAAAACUAAAUGAUUAUUUUCAAGAUUUUUUUAAUACGCGAUCGUUUAGAUUUGACACACGAUCGUUUAAUUUAAUCGUUGUUUAAUUUUUUUCAAGAUUUUUUUGUACGCAAUUGGAUUUGACACACCAUUGUUUAGAUUUGAUUGUUUAAAUUAGGGUAGCAAAUCUUCAAGAAGUUUUUGGAAUGAUCGUUUAGAUUUAACUAUUUUUAUAAUAUUUUAAUAAUAUGAAACAAAAAUGCACUCAUCGAAAAACUUGAAGGAGAUAAACAGAACUAAAAAGAAUGGACGGAGAGAGAUCAGAAAGUGAGAGAAAGAUCGAAUUGAAAGAGUAUAUUAGAAGAAGUUUUGACUAAAAUCACUAAAAGAAAAAUAAAUAGAAUUUUUUUAUUAGAAUCCUACGGUUGAAUUAAUUUAUAUACCAUAUUUACAAAGAUAUAUAAUAAAUGACCAUCUUAAAAUUAAAUGAAAAUAAAUAUACUAAAUAACUAAUAGACUAAAUAGAAAAUUUUAAUAUAAAUAAUAGAUGUGGAAUAAAUUAUUUAUGGGAAUAAAUUAUAUAUAUUUUAGAAAAUAUGUAAUAUUUAAAAUUAAUGUGAACUACAAAUCAAUCCAUAAAAAUAGUCAAAUCUUGACAUUCGUGUAAAAUUCAAAUGAAGUGUUUUCUCCUAUUUUUUCUAUAUUUAAUUUGAAAGGUUAUUAAAAUAAUUUUAAAUUUAUAAGCAUUCAAAUUGGUGAACGAUUUUAUUUUAUUGAUUUUGAAAAUAGUAACUGUUGAGCAAGAAAUUUCGACCAAUUAAAUUCUGCCACAUCAUCACAACAAAUAUUCAAUAAUUAUAUUUUGUUGGAUUUUGGUAAUUAAGUUUACUCAAUCCAACCCAACUCAAGUCCAAUAAGCAGAUUAGCCAAGGCCAAGCUCAACAAGCAGAUGAACUCAAGCUCAAUAAAGCAAAUGGGCCCAAGCUCAAGUCCAAACUCAAUAAGGCAAAUGAGCUCAAGCCUAAGCCCAAUAGGAAAAUUGGUCAAAGUCCAAGCCCAAUAAGCAAAUUGGCCAAAGCCCACCUAAAGCCCACAAAAUUUCUCUAUAAAUAGAGACAUUUGUCAUUCAUUUGAAGAGGUCUUUGGUUGAAUGAAGAAUUGAAGCUCUGAAGUACUGAAGAAUUGAAUAUUCAAACUUCUAUAAAGCUCUCAAGACGUGCAAGUUCUUAUCAACUUCGAGAUCAUCAUCUUUUGAAAGAUUGAAGACUUGGAAGAUCAAACUUUUCUUGAAUUCCAGAAGACUGAAGCUCAAAUAGACGUGCAACUAUAACAUCCUAAAGAUCGAAGAUCGAGAAGUUCUAAGUUUUAACUUGUAUUCGAGAGAAAGCAUCAAAUGAGUAAAUACUAGAUAUUGUAUUCACAAUAUUCAAUAUUUAUCAAUAACAAAGUUCAAUUCCACGAAAUACAUUUUUUCGAAAUCUCAUUUGAACAAUUUGGCACGCCCAGUGGGAUAAUCUCUAACUUUCAUCUCUUUCUCAUUUGAAGAACAUCUAAAGAUAUCAUGACAUCUCAAGGCAAUACUUCCAAAGCUCCAAGUGACAUCGAAAAGCAGCCAAAUAGUCGUGGCCGCUCAAGGGAGACUCAAUCAUAUGAGGAAAAUGUCAUCCUUUGAGGCCACAAAGAACAUUUGGGAACAACUGUCCAAACCACCAAAAGGUGGAAUUAUAAUCAAAGAAAAUCCUUUGAUUGACGAACAAAUUUUCUCCUAUGAAUGCUCGAAUGAGGAGAUGCCUCAUCCAAAUAUCAUGUCAGUUAUGGUGAUUGGCGUGGAUACAAAUGAAGACAGAAUGGCUGAGCUGGAAAAGAAGAUCAACAUACUCAUGAAGGCCGUUGAAGAAAAGGAUAAUGAAAUUGCAUCUCUCAAGAAUCACAUCGAACGUUGUGAUGCUGCUGAAUCAAGCCAUACACAUACUGUCAAAAAUACUGACAAAAGGAAGGCAAUUAUGCAGGAAAGUCAUCCAUAAAAUUCGACUUCAAUUGCAUCGCUGUCUGUUCAGCAGUUAUAGGUAAUGAUUGCAAACUCCAUCAAAACUCAAUAUGGUAGACCUGCUUUAACUCCUUCUUUGUAUUCCAAACCAUAUACGAAGAGGAUCAACAAUCUCAAAAUUCAUAAUGGAUACCAACCACCCAAGUUCCAACAGUUUGAUGGAAAGGGUAACCUAAGACAACAUGUUGCUCACUUCAUUGAAACAUGUGAAACUGCUGGUACGAGAGGAGAUUUGUUGGUAAAACAGUUCGUUCGAACUCUAGAAGGAAACGCCUUCGACUGGUACAUCAACCUGGAACAUGAAUCCAUUGAUAGUUGAGAGCAGCUUGAGGGAGACUUUCUCAAUCGCUUCUAUAGCACCUGAUAUAUCGUCAGCAUGAUGGAAUUGACAAACACCAAACAACGGAAGGGGGAGCCAGUCAUCGACUACAUAAAUCGAUGGAGAGCUCUAAGCUUGGAUUGCAAAGACAAGCUCACAGAAAUUUCUGCAGUUGAGAUGUGCACCUAAGGCAUGCAUUGGGAACUUCUCUAUAUUUUGCAGGGGAUAAAACCACGCACGUUUGAAGAGUUGGCGACUCGUGCCCAUGAUAUGGAACUAAGAAUCACACGAAGAGGAGAAAAAGAUUUCUUGGUUCCAAAAAUGAGGAGUGACAAAAAUGAAAUUGAUGACACUAAAAUGAUUGCAAAUAGUGUCAUAAACGAGUCUCUGGUUGUUCAUGCAACCCCUUUGAAAUAUUUCUCUAAAAGAAAAAAACAAAAAUUAAAGGAAAGCGUGAUAGCGAGGAAAAACAACGCUCAAUUCUUAAAGAAAGACAUGAAAACUAGCAACUUAUUCAACUGCCAGAAUGCAAACGACCGGAACAAGCAGGAAAAGAAAGACAUGAAAACUAGCAACUUAUUCAACUACCAGAAUGCAAACGACCGGAACAAGCAGGAAAAGUAAAUGAUCCUAAAUACUGUAAGUAUCAUCGGGUCAUUAGUCACCCUGUUGGAAAGUGUUUCGUGUUAAAAGAGUUGAUUCUAAAGUUAGCUUAUGAAAAGAAGAUCGAGCUAGAUAUUGCUGAAUUAGUUGAGACGAGAAAAAAAAAAGGAAAAUGAAAAAAGGAAAAAAAAUACAUAUGAAAAAAAAAAUAGAGAGAAAAUAACUUGAAUUAAAAAAAAAAAAAUUCUUCGAACUGCUACCUUUAAAAAUGGUCAGCCAUUCGAAAAACUUUGGCUACUUUUGAGGAGCAAAAUAAAGUAACAGUGAUGAGGAAGAACAUAAUGAUUUUUGCUCUCAACUUUGUUCUCUAUUUAUAGGGUAAGAAAUGUAUUCAUCUCCAACUUCUCCUUCUACUUCUCAAUAAACCAACAAAUCUUGGAAGUUGAGAUUGAGUUGGAAGUUGGGAUUCAGUCCUAAUCUUUCUCUUUAUUUAAAAAACAUAUAUAAUAACAAAUUAAUUAAAUAAAUAAAAUAUUCCUUUUAAAUAAAAUUCUUCUAAUUAAAUACAUAAUUGAAAAAGUAUAUAUAUAUAUAUAUAUAUAUAUAUUUAUUUAAUUUCUCCAAAUAAUUUUACUUUUUAUUGUGUUCAAAAAUUUUAAACUUUAUUCGAAAGCAUAAAUUUAUUUCAAAUUCAAAUUAAAUAAAAUAAAAUAAAUUCAAAUUUUAAAUUUGGUAGCAAUUCAUCUUUAAGUAUCACAAGUUUUGCUACAAAUUCAAAUUAAAAGAUUGUGCAGAAAAAAAAAAAAAUCAAAACUUUGAACUUAAAUUGAUGAAUUGACAAUAUUCCAAUUAUAUCAUUUCUUUUUAAGUCUCAAUUAUCUCAUUAAAUUCAUGGGUAAAAAAAAAAAAAAAUCUCUUGGCCAUAUUCCAAAUGAUUUUUAUAUAUAUAGAAAAAUUGUGAAUUGAAUUUCAAAAUUCACCAAAACUUCAUACAGCAUUUUAACCACACUUAUGUCCAAAUGCAUAGUGUAAUUAAUUUGUUAUAUUAAUUGAAAUCAUAGUCAAGAAUAAAUCACUUAGUAUUUUUUGUUUCAGCUUAUCGUUUUCGAGACUCGUCCACCCAUACACGUGCACUAAUCUCGAAAGGGGGGUUGAGCAAGAAAUUUCGGUCAAUUAAAUUCUGCCACAUCAUCACAACAAAUAUUCGAUAAUUAUAUUUUAUUGAAUUUUGAUAAUUAAGUUUACUUAAUUCAAUCCAAUUCAAGUCCAAUAAGCAGAUUAGCUAAGUCCAAACUCAACAAGCAGAUGGACCCAAACCCAAUAAAGCAAAUGGGCUCAAGCUCAAGUCCAAACUUAAUAAGGCAAAUGGGCUCAAGCCUAAGCUCAACAUGCAAAUUGGUCGAAGUUCAAGCCCAACAAGCGAAAAAUGGGUCAAAGCCCACCUAAAGCCCACAAAAUUUCUCUAUAUAACAAAGUUUCCUUGAAUGAAGCUCAAGUAGACUUGCAACUAUAACAUCCUAAAAACCGAAGAUCGAGAAGUUCUAAGUUUUAACUUGUAUUCGAGAGAAAGCAUCACAUGAGUAAAUACUAGAGAUUGUAUUCACAAUAUUCAAUAUGUAUGCAUAUAACAAAGUUCAAUUCCACGAAAUACAUUUUUUCAAAAUCUCACGUGAACAGUAACUUGCUUGUAAUAGACAUAAAUUAGGUUUGUGUGUUUAACGAAAGCCAAACUAAGAGAACCUUGUGGAAAGAAUUAAAACUAUAUAAUAUAAACGUCAAGAGGUCUUGUUCAAAAUUUAAAUCACUUCUAAUUUUGGUUUACUAGCAGAUUAAAGUAUGACAAUGGACAUCUAAUUUUUGUUGAGGAACAUCAGUCAUGCGGGUCAAGUUUUCUAGUGCUUUGUUUUCCAUUAGCUUUUUCCCUAUACUUUUUUACAGGAUACUAAAAGAAAGGACAUCUUCUGCCGAUGUCCUUACAGAAACAUUAGUUUGAUUUUAGUUUGUCACAAUCUAAAUACAAAAAAGCUAAUGAAAAACAACAAAAAUGACUGAGAUCUAUGGUUAUCAACAGACAAUGUUAUGAUAGUAUUUUAGCUGGAGAAGAGAGCUCGUUGAUUCGUUACUGCCAGAUCUUGACACAGUCGUCGUGACUUGCUGAAGCAAUUAAACCAGUAGCAUUUGAUGCAGCCAAGGCUGUUACCAACUUCUCAUGAGCUUGCAAUGUCCUUGUCUUGUUUUCUGUCAUGUCCCAAAGCUCCAGUGACUGGAAACCAACAAUUCCAUUUGAAACAGAACAUUCUCAAUGUUAAAACUUUGGUGCUAAAUAAUAUCAGAAGACAAAAAGUGUGCAAAAUCAAUUGUAGUUUAUAUCAAGUAAACUUAUCCAGUAAGAGCAUUUGUCAAUACAUCUUAUUAUCACAUCAUUAAAUGUUUCUACUUGUCCAGGUGGAUUAGUAAUUUCAAGCAACAAUGCGCAAAAAUUAAAGAACUUAAACACAAACAUUAAAAGCUCACGUAGGCUCAAGUUAUGCAGAAUUAUCUAUUGCCCAUGUGCAAUAUGAGACUGUAAGCAUGAAACAACUUGAAAUGGCUUUUAAGGACCAAAGCAUUAUAGAUAUAUUAUUUGCUUUCCAGAGAAUAUUGCCAAUUUUUCACUGAAGAGUUGAUAAAAUAGCAUGUGAAAUUAAAUAGCAGCGACUAACCUCAUGAGAGCCAAUGAUCAAAACAGAAGUAUUGGUGGGAUGAAAAACACAAGUAUGAAAUGUGUUUCCAUUGCAGUUCAACUCAUGAAUGCAGUCUCCUUUGCUACCAGAACCAAAUUUCCAUACUUUAGCUACAUCGUCACUGGUAGAUGCUAGAUAUUCACCGGAUGGAUCCCAGCACACAGAAUGAAUUUUUUUUUUGUGACCCUGAAAUGGCAAACCAGAAAAUUUUGGUGAUUAAUGUGAAGCUAAAAUAAUGAGACAUUGACCACGAGUAUUGUAAGAUUUGUGAUUUUUCAUCGGCUUCUUUUACUCUUCUGACCUCACUUACCUUUUACUCUUCUGAAUUCACUCACCUCAGCAAACUUACGGGUCUAAGCUGUAGGUUUGAUUAUUCUAACAGCCAGGUGUAAACUGAACAACUACCAUUAAAUAUCGACCAUAGACUAAAUUAUACUCGCUUAAGCUUCCGUUUAUAAAGCAUACUUAAUAAUUUACUCCCUUUUCAAUUGUCUACAAGGUCUCAAGGGUUUGACAAUUAUGAAAUCAAAUUUGAUUGGUAUGCGAACAAUGAGUUGAUCUGUAUUGUGCAUAGCCAUGCUACUUCCUCUCGUAGCAAAGAGGAAAGUCGAAAUCAAGACAAAAACAAAAUAGGAAAUACUCACUCAAGUUCUCAUUUCAACAUUUUCCAGAUCAUACUAACAAUCAAUGAAUGAACAAGUUUACAUAUAGAGAAUUUUCUUUCUUCUAAAUCCUAAAUUUAAUAAAUAAGUAAACAGUUCACGAAAGGCAGAAUGUGGUUGUUACUAAUGUGCAUAUCCUAAAAUUUGAUUUUGCAAGUUUAUAAGGAAACUCAAAUCAUAAAAGAGUAAACUACACUAACAAACCUGUAAUCUAAGUCUGCAAACUUGGGUUUCUACGUCAAUUAUGGAAACAACUUUUCCCGCUGCUGCAGCAAGCGUUCUUCCAUUAUUCGGUUGAAACCUCAACUUUGUCGCACCACCCUGAUUUAGUUGUCAAACAUAUUAGUAUAUUGCGAUGCAAGAGGUUAUGUUUUAUAAAUAAAUAAAUACCAGGUGCAGUUUAAUAUGAAGAAAUCAUAAUUAAAGCAUGAGUUUGAGUUUAUACCUUAAAAAUGCCAACACAACUACCAUUUUUAAUGCUCCAGUACCUUAUCUCGCUACUAAUAUCAGAAGAGCAAAUGAGAUCAUCUUUACUAGGAUGAAAGUCCAAUGAUGCGACUCCAGUUGAAUGUCCAGUGAAAGUCCGAAGUGAUUGGCCAUGCUGUAAAAUGUCUCAGAGUCGUCAAUUAGAAAGAGUUGUUAUUCUUAAAAGCUUAACAAAGAAAAUUUUUGUUCUCUAGAAUGUUGUAGGCAGUUGUCAGACUAAAAGAAUACAAGAUAUAAUGGAUAAAGGCCAUUUGAUAAAAAAAGCUGGCUUGCUUACAUUAUCAACAUCCCAAACCUUGACAGUCCCAUCACCUGAAGAUGUUGCGAUCUUUAAUGUCCUUGGACUAAAGCGAACAUCAGUUAUCCAUUGUGAAUGUUCAUCAAGUGUAGACCUCACUUUAAAGGACUUUGUGCACCACACUGUAGCCUGCACCAUUAAAUUGUUGAGAAAUGUCCUAGAAACUAAACAUACUGCAUACAUACUUAAAUAAAUCAACAUGGUACCAUACUUAAUAAAUCAUCAAGAACAUUAAAAGUUUGAUCUGUAAGAGAUUUAAUAAUUUUGAUAACACACUUAAUAUGAAUAUAUUUAACCUUUUUGUCACUCCCACCACUGGCAAGUAGUUUUCCAUCAGAUGAAAAGCAGCAGCAUUCGACCUUUCUUGUAUUUGCAGGAAUUACAUGAAUUUCCUUCAGUGUGGGGCCUUCAGUUACACGAAAGGAUGGAAUAAGGAUGAAAAAUUUAAAACUGAAUUUCCUCGAUCAAAUUACAAUUACAGUCUAUUGGGAUAACAGACCUACAGUUACAGUCUCCUGCUAUUCUUAAAGAUUUCACCAUACCUUUGGUAGAGUCAGAAAGCAGACCUAAAUUAUCUCUCUCGUCUGAUUCAUUAAGAGAUAGGAAAGACUCCACAUCAUCUAAUGGUUCAUCAUCCAUGAGACAACCCAUAUCAGCCUGCCAUGUGUCAACUCAUUAUUUAAAUGCCAAAUUGAGCAUUAUUGUUCUCUCUUUAUUUGUUUAUGCUAAUUAGAUUAAUCAGUAUUAUCAAUGAGAAAAUACGUUAAUCAGCACCUAGAAGAAGAUGGCUGAGUAGAAAAGACUUAAGACUCGUAUGACAAACUUCCUUAUAUAACAAUAUGGUACCUUUUCUUACAAAAACUUACCACUACAGACUACAAACUACAUCAAUAAAAACUACAACACUAACUUCGAGAAAAAAAAAUAGAGCAGACAUAAUUGACCAUUCAGCUCUGCGGUGCAGGAAUCCAAGAACAUAUAUCUAGUAGACAAGAAGGUAAUCCAUAUCAAAUAUCAUUUGGGAACACAAAUGUGUAAGUUUGUCAACCUGAUUAUUAGCCUGAAAUUUAUUGGAUGUACAGCCAUCAACAUUUGUGAUCCCUGAACUGGUUAAUUUAUCCUGCUGCUGAAUUAUGUGAUUUGAGUUCUGAGAAUGUUGACUCAAAAUUGGAUGCUGCAAGAAUUGUUGCUACCUUUUAGUUAUCAAUCUUUAAUUGCUGCUGCUGUAGCUGAUGAAUGUUAAACACUGAUAUUUUCGUUAAGGGGGAAAAAGAAGAAAGAAAGAAAAAGAAAGACUUGACAAAAACAUAAGGGAGGCCCUGUUUGAUAACAUUCUGAUUUAAAUUUAUUGAUUUUAAGAAUUAAGCUUACUUGCUAGAAAAUUCUAUGUCUAUACUUAUACUUCCAAAAAAAAAAAAAAAACAGGACUGCAUCCAAGACCCUACUAUUCUUUGCUUUGCAAAUUAUGGAAAUAUAUUCACAAUUUUACAAGUUUGAUAUAGAAAUACUUCAAACAAACAAUUAGAACUAAUUUUAAGAUUUAUUGGAAGUAUGUAGAUCAAAUUUGAAAAGUUGGAAGUACUGGGACGGAAAUAGAUGAAACUCAAAGUACAAGGAGCAAAGCGGUAGUUUAACCAAAGAAAAAAAUCCAUACCUUGUUCAGCAUAUCAGCACUUACAUGUGGCAAAGCAGGAUGACAAACUGGUGCCAUUGAAUCAACAUCAGACAAAUCCAUAGAACAUAAAUGGCUAUCCUUCAUAUGGAUAUUUUGACUUAAAGGCACUCCUGGUCUUAUGCAUGCCACAUUGGCAGAAUCUACUCCCAGGUUUUGAGGUGCUUGAAAUAUAAAUUCAUGCUCCAGCUGAAAUCGACUGGAAGUAUGAGGCAAUUGGAUGAAUGAGUUGGGUUGUUGCUGUUGCCCCAAGCUUAGAGGAUCCAAUCCCUAAGAGCAGUAAAAUUAAUCAGAAAGGUCCUAAAUCUCACCAUAGUAUUAAUUUAUGAACACUUCUUCUUUGACUAUUUCGCAGGAAUGGCUACCACUAUAACCUAAUUGUUAUUUAACUUUCUUGGAAAAAGCAAUCAAAAAAUAUCUCUUUUCUCUUUUUCCUUUAAGCAUUUCUCCUCAUACUUGUCAAAAAACUUAAGAUGAGAUUCCUAGCAAGUGGUCAGCAAGAAGAUCUCCAAUAUUAGCCUCAUCUUCACUUGAGGGACUAAGUACAUGCCUCUUUAUGUAAUCUACACUAGUAACUCUAAAUCAAAUAUUAUUCUUGAGAAAAACAUAAAAUGCUGAUUAUUUUUUCCAACUUACAAUCUCCAAUAAACAUUUAUACAAGUUUGUUGAGAAUUUCUUGAAAAAACGAGACCUCAUGUUUUUUAUAAGAUAGAAGAGUUACACCUUUCAUUAUUAAUUGAAUUUAAGAUGAAAUUUCAUGUUUAUCUAAUAUGGUAUUAAAAGUCAUAAAGUUCAUACACCCAUAUUCCAUUAGAAGAAAAAAUGGAUUUGAUUAAAAAUUGGUAAAUUCAAAGAGGCACCACCUUGAAGAGGCAUAUUUAGAAUUCUACAUUAAAUAAACGAAGAGAUCUCACACUUUUUAUAGAAUACAUUGGCUAUUUCUCUUAUUACCCGUGAUUUUGAGAUAAUCUCAUGCUUAUUUAAUAAGGUUCUUCAAUUUUUUUUUUUUUUUUAAAAAAGAGUACAACAAUCGGUAUAAGGAGAAUGCAUAUAAUUUACGAGCAUCGAGUUUAAAUAUGCAUACCGAUGAAGGCCUUCCAUUCAAAGGCAAACGACUAGUGCCCGGAUUUGAUCCUGAAGAACCAAGAAAGCAUCAUAAUGAAUUAAGGAAUGCUUGGGGUGGGAGGUUAAUCCAAACAUUUUGUUGAGUAACAAAUAAUCCCAAAAAAGUACGGAGGCUAUGAAGUAACUCCGGGCACUUUCUAAUAUGAGAUUACAGAAACCACUAUCUGAACUACUUGACAAACACUAUCAAAAUUCUAAAAAUGUUAUUAGUUUAUUUCAGUUUUAGCAGACUUUCCUUUAGUCGUUUUUGCUCGAAUAAUACUAUUGUACUUUGAACAUUGGUCUCUUUUAUUAUUAAUAAUAAAGAGACUUAUUUCCGUUGAAAUAUAUAUAUAUAAGGUUUUAGUUAAAUACUAUUCAAUUUUCAUUUUUUUUUACAACUUUCAAACCAAUUCAAACAUAAUUCCUGAAUCAGAUAUGAUGUAAUAAAUGUAUAAUAAAGAGGCUUGUUUCCAUUUAGAAAUAUAUAUAUAAGUUUUUAGUUAAAUACUAUUCAAUUUUCUUUUUUUUUGUUGACAACUUUCAAACCAAUUCAAACAUAAUUCCUGAAUCAGAUAUGAGGUAAUAAAUGUCCAAGGAUUAAAUAUGGCAUUGGUUUUUUCUGGUCCUUUUUUUUUCUGUGUGCGUGUGUGUUUAAGGAGAGGGAGGAGUUUUUGAGAUGAAGGAAUGUAUCAACAAAGUCAGAAAUUUCCUAUCUAUAUAUAUUUAUAUUUGAAAAAAGGAGUACCAGCAAUUCCUUCAGCCGUGCUAACUCUGGUGUUCAUACUUGACUUCAUCUCCCCUUUCAAUUUCUGUUUCAACACAGCAAAAUAAAAAGUUACAUCUGAGAACAUGAGAGAGUGGAAACAACAUAUUUUCAUAGUUGAUUAAUAAUUACUUUGGACCCUGGAAGCUGUUGACUCUGGUAUUGAGUAUCGAUACUAGUUGACUUGUACCCAGAUAUUUGGCUCUGGCUAGAAAACCAAUGUUCACAUACAUUAAACAUGAAACAAUUAAAAGUAGUAAGUAUACCUUUAAGAAUAAAACAGAAAUAGCAGGACCCGAAAUGUUACGAGAGACACCUCAGAGGUUGAGCAUUCAUGGCAGAUACUCCAAACAUUGAGCCUGGACGCUGGCUUACAUGUUUGAGAAAUCUUUUCUGCGAGAACAUUUACUUGAAUAUCGAGGAAAAAGGCGAAAAUUAAAUUACAUUGAGAUCUUCAAGAAUACCUUUGGGAGCACAUUGGCUAGUGUAUCUCUUUGAAUAGGGAGUGUAAAAUUCUCCUCAUACAUUUUUGCAGCCAUUUCAUUUGCAACUGAAGGGUUCUGUAUAUUGAGUGAAUUGUUCAAAACAAGCCUAUUAGCAAUUGGAGUAGAACUCUGCUGAGUCUUCUGUAAAUAAUGUUGUUGUUGUAACUGCAAAUCUCCAUCCUUCAGCAACUGAGACUGUCGAAUCCAAAAUAAACUCAAGUUAUCAAGAAAUACUUAUCCAAUCUGAUACAGAUAUCAAUACAUGAAAGCUGCAUGCAUUAAGGGAUGUGGCAACAUGACAACUUUGGUCAACUAUUUUGUCUGAUGCAGCAUUCUUCCUCUUCAUGGAACACUCGGAGGGGGAACUAAUUCAGCUAAAAUCUAAAUAGAAAACGAACCUUGAUGUAAGAUGUAGCAGCUUCUGAGUGCUGUGGGUUUAUGCGGGCAAUAAAUAAAUCCCAGAACACAGACCACCAUUCCAAAAGGAAACCACCCGGAGCAUCAAAAGCUGCAUAAUGGGAUUCAAAACAGAAGGCAAAGUAAGCUACGGAUAUAUGGAAGUCAGUAGAUACACUGGGUUUGUAUUACAGUGAUGCAUAACACAGUCUUACCCACUGGAUCCCUAAGAAUUUUUCCUUCAGCCAGAAAAGACCUUGCAGAAGUAUAUAGUUUUCUCUUCAAGAGGUAAUCAUAGAUAUAAGCAUCCAGCCUGUGUCCAAGAAGAACGAGAAUAAACCACAGAAAGAUUGGAAAACACACAAACGUUCCACCAAGUUUUUAAAAAAAUCAUGGCAGAACUACGAGACUGAAAAAAAAAAAAAAAAAACUACCAGGUUGAACUACAGAGUCUAAUCAGUUUCAGCAAUAAUAUAUUUAAUAUUCUCGUUUACUGAAACGUCAAACUGUUUUUCAAAUUCCUCAUCUCUCAUCUUCAAUCUUUUUCUAUAUAUGCAUUACUGUUAUUUGUCUCUCAUCAGAAGAACUCGUCCAUUGGUCCAACGCCAAUAGUAUACAAAAAUAUAUAAUACUACAGAUCUCCUAUUGAUUAUUUCUACAUGAUCAUAGAUAAUCAACCGUAACUUCAUUCUUUCAAAAAAAAGAGAUAAAUAAAAACAAACAGUAACUUCAUCUCAAACAGCCCCAUGAAAAGUCACGCUACUGUUACAAGCCUUCUUGUCCCCUGGUCUAACCAAUAAUUUACAUGGGAAAAAGUGGACAAAUAAAAUCGUACAGAUGCCUAGGAGCCUUAAAGCCCUAGUAUCCACCAACUCAACAAACAAACAACAAAAAAUGCUGCCCACUCAAAACCAACGGGAGCACAAACUUGAAGAACAGAGCAUUAGAGCAAAACCAAGUGGAAAUCGUGUGUUCAAGAAGCAGCCAACAAAUGGGUGAGCCAUUAUAGAGUAUAUUCGAAUCCCCUCCACAAAGAAAGAGAAAAAAACAAAAAACCAAAAAAAUGGGCGAAAUGCCCUUUCCAAAAGGAGAACAAGUGAAUAUUCAAAAUGGGUAACACCAGUUCCUUGGUACAACACAGGGAGAAGAAGAGAAAAGCAUCACACAGCACCUGAAUCAGUAAAAACCAAACCCCACCAAAAAAAAAAAAAGAGAAAAAAGAAGGUAUGAAACCCAUAGAGAUUCAAUGAAGGACAGAGACAGAAGAACAAAUCAAAGGAAUAGAAAAACAUGGAAUAUGGUAAUUAUCAAUGCAACAGGAAAACUUAGGUGCAUGGUACUCGCAUUAUUUUAUCAACAUCAUCCAACAAAGCUUGGGACAUGAUUACAGUAUUAUUUGCUCCCGCCGGAAGAAGAGAAACCGGAAAGAAACCGACGAAUAAUAAUAAUAAUACUCAGGAAAUCACUCUUGGGUUUCGAGAAAGUGUUUUUUUAGAAGAAGAUGAGUAAUUGAAAAAUGGGUUUUAGUGUGAGUCCACUUUGUUCCAUCCCUCCUAAUUCAUUUAAUUUCUCCGUACCAUUGUGCUGCGGCGACCCCCAUUGACACGCGUAAUUGCUCCGUGAAAAUGGAUCCUUUUUGUUUUUUGCUUUUACAAAUAAAAGCGGCAUGUAACAGAGGGAUGAUGCCUAUUGCCUCUACUAUACCUUACUGCCUAAGUUUCUGAACUUCCAUGGGGUCAAAUUUUAUGUGUCAAAUUACAUAUUUGAUUCUGCCUCCCAUUUUAAUGAUCCAGUCUAAGCUAGGUUGGUUUAAAUCAUUCUUAGAAAAAAGUAUAUAUUUUUUUAGGGAAAUUUUAGUAUGAACUUUACUUAGAAAUUUGAUUGUUUCUAAUAAGUUAAGAAUUUCUUUUUCAAACUCUUUUAAAUUACUAUUAUUAUUAUUAUUAUUUGUUUUUGAAGAAGGUGGUUUUAAACUACUAAAUAGAGAGGCCAUGGACUAAUAUUUAGUAAUUUAAGUAUACUUUGUAUUGAAUUUUAUAUGUAAUAGAAAAAUUGGAAUUGACGGCUAUUUUAAAAAUAAUAAUUAAAGAUAUAGCAACCUUUUAAAAAAUUGUAAAUAUAGCAAAACUAUCAUCGACAGAUUUGUAUCGUCGAUAGACUUCGUAUGGUCUAUUGCAAUAUAAUAUAUCGGUGAUAGACUUAUAUUGUUGAUGAAUUUUACAAAUUUUGCUAUAUUUAUAAUUUUUUUUUAAAUGUUGUUAUAUACUUAAUUAUUUUGUAUCUAAUUGCCAAAUUGUAACGUAAGCGUUAUAAAUGAUUAUCAGACGGGAGAGAUGUAGAGCAUUGUUUUUUUUAGUAUUUAGACCACAAUUUGAGUUGGACACUUAGAAAACAAAAUUCAAAACAAGUUAUAAUAAUUAAGUUUAUAACACAAAAAUUUAAUUUAAUGAGGUAUUUGUAAGAAUAAUAAAAUUGAAGGCAACAGUUGAAAGUAUAGAUAUAGAAAAAUAGGUGGGAAUAAGAAUUUUAGCAAAAUAAUGGAUGCACAUGUAUGAUUUGAUAAUUUUUAGUUUCAAAUUUUAAAUGCGUCAAUAUUGAUAAGAUGAUCGAAUUUAUGAAACAAUUGCUUAUGAUUAUAUCCUAAUCAAAUCAUUCAUGUAUUUACUGUAAAUCUUUUGAAAUCUCUAUCCUUAGUAUCCUCAAUUACUUGGUGAACUAUAUUCUAAUUGAAUCUCUAUUUUUAAUAAAUCUUUAUAGAUUUAGUUAAUAAGUUUUCGAAAAUAUAUAUUUAAGUAAUUCAUAACAUCUAUGGCGUUAGAUUUAAAAAAUAUUUAGUUUUAGUUAGAUUUCAAAAAGUGUUUGUUUAUCUUAUUCCUCUCUGUUAUGAUUUAAAGUUGUAUUAAAUUUUAUACUUAAUAAAUCUUUAUAUAUUUAUUUUCAAAGUUUCAAAAAUAUAUAUUUAGAUAAUUGUUAAUAUCUUCUGUAGUAUAUUUAGAUAAUUGUUAAUAUCUUCUAUAGUUAGAUUUCGAAAAAAAAAACGUAUUUUUAAUAACAUUUCGAAAAUGUAUUUUAAUAAAAUUUCAAAAUAUUUAUACUUAUUUUAUUCGUUUUUAUUGUUUUAAUGGUGUAUUAAACUAAUUUUUAGACUAUAUCUAAUUUGUAUGUUAAUUAUAUUCUAUGUAAUACAUCUUUUUAACAUUUUUAAAGCUUGAGUGUGUUAUACAACUAAAGAAUAAUAAUGAAUAAAAUGGCAACUAAUAAGUAUUUUUUAUGGCUUUACAACGAGUUUUUUUAUGGUAAAUGGAUUGAAAUUUUCCAAUAUCAUGAUUAUUCUGUUGUUGAUGUGUAUGUUCCAUAAACUUUUUCCAUCCUCCAAUCCAUAUGUGUCUCGUUUGACAGUUUACUUAGAUGGUUGCAACUAUUCAAACCUCAUUUGUUAUAAUAUACUCAACAGUGAACUACACCUAGUACCUAGAGUAUUUAAUGAUUCUUCGCAAUGAAUUAAAUAGUAAAUACAAGGUAUUUUUUAUUCUUCUUUUUUUGAAUGGUAAAGUUUUCUUAAAUUCUUUAAAAUUUAAGUAUACUUUUGUUAAUACACUAAUUUAAAUUUAAGUAUACUUUUGUUAAUACACAAAUUUAAAUUUAAGUAUACUUUUGUUAAUACACUAAUUUUUUUCCUUAUCUUGAGUAUUAAAAUUUAUUUUUCAAUUUCAACAAAUGGAAAGUAUUUAUUUAUAAUUGUAAACCAAUUUACAAGAUAAAGAUUUUUUUGUUGUUAAACUAUUAGGUAUUUUGUGAGUGUUUUUUAAAUGUAAAGUAAAAAGCAUAUUCGUUUUAGAAAAUAAAAUAAAUUUAUGUUAUUUAGUUACUAAUUUUAAAAGAGGAAAAACUUGUCUUAUAAAUUUAAAGAUUAUUUGUUAUUCACACUUAAAAAGUUGAUGGGGUUUGAAAUUUGUUAGUAUUCUUAAAAUUUGAGAUUUUUCUAAUUUACUAUCUAUUUAUUAAUCAUUUAUAUCAAUUUAAUUUAUUAAUAAUUUAAUCUGUUAUUCAAUUGAAGUUGUUGGAAUUUGAAAUUUGAUCUAUUUUUUAACUUGAGAUUUUUCUUAGUCAAAAUGGUAAUUUAUUAUCUAUUUAUUAAUAAUUUUUCUUAGUCAAAAUGGUAAUUUGUUAUCUAUUUAUUAAUAAUUUAUAUUAGAAAAUUAUUAUUUAUUUAUUAAUAAUUUAAUUUGUUAUUCAAUUGAAGUAGUUGGAAUUAUUUGAUAUUUGUUGUUUUUUUUAAUUUGAAUUUUUUCUUAAUCAAAUAGUAGUUCUAGUUAUUUGUUGUUAAUGAAAUUUUUCGUUUUCUAAUAAUUUGAAUUUUUUUAUUAAAAAUAUUUUUUUGGCAUUUAAAGUUGUAGAAACCGAAGCUGAACAAAAGAAGAAGAAGUAAAACAAACUUUGUUUCUACAAAAAUCGAAGUUGGAAGCCUUUCUUUCAGUUGAGAGGAUUUUCUGUGAACGGUUGCUGCUCUUUUGAGGGUUAUGGUGUCUGAUGCUUUACAUCAAUGGAGAUGAAGAAGACAAAUGAAGAAAUGUUUUGAAAUUGGCUUUAAUGGAGAUAAAGAAGAAGAACAAGUUUGAGGGAAAAUUAGGGAUUUGAUAGCUUUUAAUUGCUUUGGUUGUUUUGGUAGGGUAAAGUUAGGGGCUUUUAAUUACUUUGGUUGUGUUGGUAGGGUAAAGUUAGGGGAGAGCUGAAAUGAUUGUGGUAGGAGAGCCUGAUUCAAUUAUAGGGUAUUUUGGAUUUUGGAAUAAUUGUAAUUGGGAUGUGAGUUUUUUUUAUCACUAGAUUAGAGGUAUUUGAGACAUUUUUGCAGCCGUUUUUUUCCCAUCUUUUACAAUUUUGUUAUAUUAACAAUUUAAAUUGUUUUUUUCCAUUUAUCUAAAGUAAACUUGUAAAUUUGCUAAUUUUCUAGUCAGUCCCAAAUUUAUUGUUUGCAAAAAUGGCAAAAACAAAGCCCAACCCACAUAUACAAAAUGUAAAAUGUCAUAAAUGUCCUCAUUACUGAUAUUCACUUAUAUACUUGAUACACACCUGAUACACCUAAUGUCUCUUGAUACACCUGAUACUUCUUGAUAACCUUUGAGCCUAAUUGAUAUACUUGAUGCAUUGUGAUACUCUUUGAUACACUUGAAACACUUUAAUACACCAAAUACUCCUUAUUACACUUGAUUCUUUUUAAUACACACUACAAGAAAUUGAGGCUUUGCCGACACAACUGUGCGUCGCCAAAAAGCCAUUGUGCGUCAGUGUAGCAUUCACCGAUGCAGAGUGGCACGUCGACAUGGGCGUCGUAAAUUAUGUGUCAUAAGAGGUAAUAACAAUUCAGGAAUGAGACAACAUCGAUGUAGGACUUUAGCCGAUGCAUGAUUUACCGACAAGGUCAAUACGUCAUCAAUACCCUAAUGUUGGAUGUUAGGUUAGAGCGUGGACAAAGGGUGUUUGCCAACACGACCAACGUCGGGUCAACGGGUUGGCAAUACCCUAAUGUCGAAGUAGUCGUGUAGUCGUGGAAGUUAGGACCGACUUGACAUCGGCAUAACUUUGUACGAUGCUGCAUCGUUAGAUGCAACCAUUCACGACGUGACACCUACGUCAGAAAAACCCUUUACCAGAUUUUUUUUAAAUAUUUUAUUACUUAAUUUCUUAUUGUUACUAUUACGAUCGAAUUUGAUUUAAAGUGAUUGAAAUUGUAAAACAUGUAACAUAAAAUUAAUAAAAUAUCAAAACAAAUAUAUAUUAAAAUAUUAAAAAAAACACACGUUUGUAGAUAGAAAAAUUACAUGAAUAACCUAAACUAAAAACAAAGAAGACUAAAAACUAAUCUAAGUGAUACAGAUGUAGUCCCCCAUGCCUUCCAACCUACAAUGACACAAAAUUAAAGUUUAAAUAUAUAUCAUCCCAACAAGAAAUGAAAGAACGUAAAAGUUCAAAAAUUACUUACAUCAAAUAAGGAAAUUAAGGUCCUCUCGUUGCCCGAGUGAGUUCUGCAAUCAUCUUAAUCUUUUCUUUCAUAUUCUGAUCACUUUUCUCAUGCCACCGUCUAUUUUCUUCUUCUACUUUCUGAAGACAAGUUUAAGCCCAUUAACCUCCUUGGUGUGCAUCUCUCACUCGUGGGAUAAUAUAGAGGAAGAACUACUAGCAGAAUGUCGAGACUUUGACCUAGGGCCCCAACGAAGACUUUUUUAGUAGUCUGAUCAUCUGCCCAAAACUGUCUUGUAUAUCUCUUCAUUAAAGAGUGGUUGAGAACCCUCUAAAGUGGGAUGAGACUAGAUGGCCAACAUUUGAUUAUGCAAUAAAAAAUUUAUGGAUUAAGUAAAACGUGUGUAAUAAAAUGUACGUAUAAAAUAAGACAAAAGCAUAGCAAAAACUUACAUGAGCAUCUGUAGCCGCUGGCAAAAUGAACUGGCCAUCCUGAGCAUGUGUUUCCUUGAACAACUCCAUCCGCUUGAUUGGAUAAUCCCAUUUUUCAGUGACCUCGUGCGCUCGUUGUAUAAAUAACUUGGCACCGCUACUGUGAUUGUAGGGUUGCUUCAACAUCGAUGAUUGCUCCGUCAUGUAAAUAAUAUCAAAAUGUUACAUAAAAAAAUGAACUACCAUUUAAAAACAUUAAAAGUUCUAAAUCGCCUGAAAUUAUCGGUAAGGUAGUGAUCGCAUAGAAAGUGUUAAUCUUCCACAUGAUUCCUCAAUCUGGGGGUGGGUUGACACCUACCUGUUCAGGAUCAUUGAACUUCUUGAAAUGGUGAUGGUUCUGCCCCCUGAACUCCUUUCAGGUGGCGAGCAUCUACUGCUUAACUAAUCGAUUAAGUGUUGGAUCUGUGAAAUUCAGUUUGAAAAAUUGCUACAAAAGAAAAGUACACACGAACUAGAAUUAUAUAUAUAUAUGCGCGGUAGGUAAUUAAAAUCAUGUAUGCAUGAUUUUAAAACUUACCUAUAAAGAGCCCUUCACGAGCUCAAUAUAAUCUGCCGUAAUGUUAGUCCACUUUAAAAAGUGAACUGGAAAGGUAUCCCACGUUACCACACAGAUGGUACAACUAAAGCGAACGAUGUAUGGGAAGAUUAGCUUAUUCAAUACUAGAGUGAUCGAUAUGGUUAUCUUUCCAUUUUGUGCAACAUAUCGCUCUAACUCCACGCUUUUUGAGUGUUCGUGUCUCUUAGGAAUGUGAGCUGUUUGAUAGCCAUUUACAAAAACAUAAUAGUUUUAUAAACUAAACUCGAAACUUAUGCAAUUAAUUGUUUAUGUAACAGUGACUAACCUUAUGUAUUGUCCACCGAUGACGAACCUCCUAUGUUAUUGAACUCCACGAUUAAAAUAAAAAAAAUCAUCGCUCUCACCUAAGUCGGUAGAAAAAUUAGACAUAGUAGUAUCUGAGGACAAUAAACCGAAAAUAAUUAAACAUAUGAGAGUACUUGAAACUGUAUAUCUAAAAACAAAAUAUAUUUAAGUACGUGAUUAACCAUUAUUAUUAUUUGUCAUCGCUGAUCUGCUUUGAAUAGAUAAUUGUUCAUCAUCAUCGUUAAUGAAGUCAUCAACAACAUGACGCACAAUCAGUCUUUCCAUGAUUGCGAUUGUAGGAUCAACGUUGCGUCUACACAUGGUGUUAUCCUCAAUGUUAUCAUCCACAUGAUGUCUGACAACGAUUUUGAGUAUAUUCAGUUGUUGAUCCUCAACAUCUUUGACUUUGGACACGUCCAAUAUACAUUUAAUUUGGAUCACCUGAACAACCUUCAAAUUGGCACCAUUUUUUGAGUCGUCGAUGUAAAAGACUUGAUGUGCCUGGAGUGCGAGAAUGAUUGGUUCCUCAGGAAACAAAAAACGAGACAUGUUGAUUGAUUAAUACCCUAAUUCAACGUGUGUUCUAUGGUUUUUGUUCUUGUCCGUGUCAAACCAUCUACACUUGAAUAGCCAAACACGACGUCCCAUCAAAUAUUAAACAGAAAUAAUUUCAUCCAAUACACCGUAAAAAUUAUUCUUGGCGCCUCCACUGACAUCUUUUCACCGACUACCAUGACUCUACUAUUUUCUAAUGUGCAUCGAAAAUCACGAUCUAUUGUGUGAAAUUGUAUGUCACCCAUGAUGCAUCCACUGUAAGAUCGAACGUCAUGUGAAGGUUCCAUCGCAAGUGAGAAGAAAUCAUCUGAAAGGUUUUCCCUUACACGCGUUUCAAUGACCUAAAAUUGUUUUGCUAAUGAAAAUAAGUCUGAAAUACGCCUCUAUUCAAUUCGAAAUGGAUUUAUGUACUCUAUAUACCUAAUUUCUAAAUCAAUCAGGAAAUGUCUGUUGAUGUAUUUUGAAUAAGUCUAGUUUGUUGUUUGCCUCACGACGUAUCAACCUCAAGUGUUUUCUAAAGUUCAUAGUUGUGAGUAUUUGUCACGAUUAUGACUUAGCAAAAAUCGUGUUAAGGGAUAUAUAAUGAAAUAUAGAGUUGAAAUUAAAGUAUGUACUUGGGGUACUCUACGAUUAUAUCUACAUUAUUGUUCAAGAUGUACCAAUAUAUCUAGCCUUUCUCUUUUUGUGAUAGAGAUUGCAAACUUCUCGCGCCUAAUGAUUGUACCUUAUGCAUGAACACACUUCAAACUGAUCAAGUACCUUGUCUUUGGGAAUGCUAUCAUCAUUUUUUCAUCUCGAAAAAAUUGAAUCUCAAUCCCACUUAGAUAUCUCAAACAAAAAGUACUUGUUUCAUUCAUCAUAUAUGCUUUGACAAUAGACCCCUCGGGACGUGCUUUGUUUCGAACAUACUGCUUCAACGUGCAUAGACUUCUCCCAAUGGGAUACGUCCAACUAUAAUGAAAUGGACCAGUGACUUUUGUUUCAUACGAUAAGUGAACAACAAGGUGUACCAUACGCUGAAAAAGGCAGGUGAAAAUAUUCUUUCCAAUUUGUAAAGUAUGAUAUGAUAUAUGCUUGCAAUUGAUCCAAAUUACUUUAUUGAAGAAAAAUUAUUGGCAGCAUUAAACCAUGGACAACUUUAUCAAAGAAGACUAAUGCUAGCAUACAAUAAGAAAGUUCACCCUCAAAGUUUUCUAGAAAGAAAUUUGGUGUUAAAAAGGAUACUUUCAUUUCAAAAGGAUCAUCGAGGAAAAUGAACUUCUAAUUAUGAAUGUCCAUUCAAAGUGAAAAAAGUUUUUUAAGGAGGAUCUUCUCUUUUAACCAAUAUGGAUGGUGUUGAGUUAAAAAAUCUCGUGAAUUUAGAUUAUGUUUGAAGAUAUUAAGCAUGAGGCAUUUUCUUAGAAAGUUUCAUAGUGUUGAAAGAGUUCAGGGGUACUUCUAGGAAACUUACAUUUAGUUCUUAGAAUGCUAUUUCCAUACGUGUAAACUUCCUCUUACCUCUCCACUUUGUACUCCUAUUCCAAGAAUCGUUGUUAUCUUUUCAUUUUUUAUUAUAUUUAUCAAACAUUUGUUUAUUUGUCAAUCAUUUCUUUUAUCCUUUCUAAAAUGUCAUUAAAUUAUAGUAAACAUCCAUUAUCCAUCAGUCUAUUAUUCUAUAUGUUGUUAAUUAACAAUGAUUCAAUACAACUUAUUGUAUUUGCAAACCAAGUAAAAGCUAUGAUUAUCUUUUGUUAAGACUUAAGGAAAUAUAGGUGCCUAUAAAUUCAGACAAAAUUUCUCCAUGGCUGUGAGUUAAACACAACGAAAAAUAAUUACAACUUUUGAACUUUACUCUGUCGCCAUGCACCUUACAUAGCACAACUUAACAUCCACUUCCAAGCGAUAACUCAAAGAGAUAACAAUAUGGUAGCGAAAUAGCUUAACUUCUUUUCUAUAUUAACUGAACACUUAAAGAGUUCAUACAAUACAAAUUACUACCCUUUAACUUUACUUUUCAUAAAAUAAAACCAAGAUUGGUCUUCUCACGUCCUUCUUCUUUCUACCAAGGUGUUGUUUUAUGUGCUAAGGUGUUCGAGUGUAUAAAGACUCUGAUUUCAUCUCUUUUUCUUUUCCUUUUUGUCAUCUUUAAUCCAACCAACGAUGCUCCUUGUGGUGGGUACCUAAAGGUGUAAAAGUGCAACUUCGUCAUUCUCCUCAGUCGUCCAACCACCUCUCUUAGGGGACUGUGUUUAGGGUUAUCCUCUCCCUAACUCGGCUCUUUAGUUCUUUGGCUUACCGAGUUUAGUAUCAUAAACCUGGGUGUUACUCUCGCAUUUCUUUCGAAUCAGGCCAUCUGCGCUAAAGAGUGAUACACUUACCAACUGGCUCCUUGGACGCUUGAUAAGAUGUCAUGGCUAGCACACCACAUAAGAGUAUAAAGUAACUUGGCCUUUCCUCCUUAACAAGGCUACAACGCUUGAGAAAAAACCUUCGCAUGGUUUCACCGUCUGACAACCUGAGGUGGGGAAAACUUAAAACAUAAGUCAAACGGACUUCGUGAGUGAUGAGUUUGAGAAAACCUUUUUGGAGAAAAGACAUGGAAUCCACAAUAAUAAGAUCAAAUCGCAUCAGAUAAAUCACAUCACAACAAACCACAACAACGAAAUCGCCAUUACAACAGGCGUACAAGCACCACGUGGUUAAAAUUAUCUCGCAAAUAAGUUCAUCACUGAGACUUGAGAUUCUCUCCUCACCUAGACCUGGGAUUCACACUCAACCAGCAUUACGCGAGUUACUUGAGAUUUUCCACUUGUGUCUCGUAAUACUCAAUCUUUCUUAGACUUGGAACUCACAUUCAACCAGCAUCUCAUCACCAUUUUGCCUAGACCUGAGAUUCUCCUUUCGCUAAGACCUAGGACUCACAUUCAACCAAUGUCUCAUCACCAUCUCUUCUUGACUUGGGAUUCUUCCCUCGCCAAGACGUUUCUAGUUAGCACUUAAAUGUAUCUUCCUUUAAAAACAACUUCAAAACUUGUACCAAAUAAGAGGAUGUAUGUCCCAUAUCCAUUACCUACUCUUAUUCCCAUGUCAUUUCCCUCGAUUCAAACAACUCCUUAAGAAUGCUUUAUAGGACAUUAGUAUCAUUAUAAUUUUUUGUUCUUUUUUUCAAAAUUUUGUAUUAGUAAGAAAAUAGAAAUAAAUUAGAUCAUAAUCAAUUUCAUUAAAAGUAAAUAACAAUUGAUGUCAAAUAACACAAUUACGUAAUAAUAACAUAACCAAUAAAUAUCAUUAGCAAUUUAUUUAAGAUAACAUUUGGUAUCAAAUAAUAAUCAUUGUCAAAUAACAUUCAAUAUCAUUAAGAUUCGUAUGAGAUAGUAAUAAUUUAGAAAUCAAAUCACAAUAACUACCAUUGUCGAUUAGUAUCAAAUAAUAAUAAGAUAAUGAUCUAUAUCAUUAUCAAUCAUAUCAAAAUAAAUGUAAAAUCAUUUUACAAUAAAUAUCAAAUAACAAUGAAUAUCAUGUAGUAAUGAAAAAAAACUAAUCAUAUAAAAAUUGUUAUAACCAACCAUUAGUAUCAAAUAACAAUUAGGUAUCAUUAAUGUCACACUGCCUUCCAGACCACCUACUCUUGACCCGAUAGAUCGCGUGAGGUCAACUAAUACCAUUUCUUACAUUGAUGAUACCUACUCACCCUAUUCCUUUAAUCUUUUAAAAUGUAGCAAAAACAUAAACUUCAUUCUAAUAUUAAGAAUAUUCAAGUGCAACGCAACUCAUUACAAUCUUUAAUAAGACAUAAUGUUACUUAUAAAGAUCUGACUUAUCUUGAUUUCUAUACAAUUCUCUAUGCAACCUCCAUCUUUCAUAAUGUUACUUAACUAUAAUAACUUGAAAUUUCUUCUAAGACGCUCGUUGACAUGGCAGCAACAAACUCAGCUCAGGGCAACAUGAUCCUUAACUGGAAAGUGAGAAAAUAUUUUGAAAGAGUAAGCUUAAAAUGCGAAAUGAGUGAUAUUUUCACAACACAAUUUCCAAAAUAGUUAUGCUCGUUGUUUGGCUUCAAACAUAGAAAUUAUUAAAACAUAGUACAAUAAAACCUUUAAAAACUUUUCGUAAGAUUCUUCAAACAUCAAUAACAUAUAGACAUAUUAUACCAAUCUCCUACAUAUAUAGUUAAGAUAUUACUAAACCUUUUUCCCAUAGGCAACAUAGCCUUUAGUGAUGUAAUCACAAUAGGCCCCUCUAUAAAGUUUUCACAUCAGUAAUAAGAUUGUGACCAUAUGUGCACAUUUAAUGGUAAUUGUAUAGUACUGGCAUAAUCCCACAAAAAACAUUUAAAUAAGCUCGUACCUUAGCUUGGAAACCAUAAACAUUUAAGAAAUCUUUUAAAUGCAAUUAAACUUGUAAAUUUCCUUAGAAAUCAUUUAGAGUAAAGUAUUCACAAACUAAUGUUGAUAAGCUUUAAACCGUGGAAUCAAACAACAUUUUAAAACCAAUUUUACUUACUCACUUGAUAAUUUCUUCUUUAGCUCGAGAAACUUCGACAAAUUUCACUUUUCUUGAAAAUAGAGUAUUUAUAUUCCAAUUAAUGCUUAAUAAUUGAAAAAUACCAAAAUUUCAAACAAAAUUGGUAAAACACCAAAAAAUGCCCAAAAUGGCCUAAAUGUCUGGUUGGCGCGAAGGGAUGGUCGACAGGGGGGCCGACGUGUGUCACGAGCAUGCUUGUCCAAUGUGUUGUUUGUCUAUGGCUACAUGCUCGAGCAUCCUCAAGUUACCUUAUCUUUAUGUUUUGUACUUAAUUUAGUCCAUUGCUUUCUUUUUGUUGUCGUCGACCUAGGGUAUGACGUUUCAGCAUUUUCAUAUGCAAGCCUACCAAAGCUAAAAAUGUUUAAAAUGUAUUAUAGAGAAGACAUAGUAGUUGAAUCCCCGACCAAGCCUUGUUGUACUCUUUGCAAUCUAAGCUUUCUUUGCAAUUGACUAUCUUUGAUGCUUUCUUUAACAAUGUUUUCAAUGCUUUUCUUUCUCUUUCAUGUUUUAUAAAACCAACUUCUCUCAAAACGUGAAGGGAGGCUACAUCAUAUUGCGAGUUUGUCCACGACUUUUGAAUUUCAUAUGGCUGACUUGUUCAUCGAGUUAGAACAAGUACCAUACAAUUGCUCGUCCCGUGUUUGAAAAGUUGGGAUUGUGACAAGUGGUAUUAGAGCUUUGUUAGCUCCUUGGCUAAGCGAGACGCAAUUAUGUCGACAAUUAAACAACUGUCAAAGUCGCAAUGUGAGCGACAAGCUGAGAUAGAAGUUCAAUUCUUAUAUCUGAGAUAAUUGCCAGACGAAAUAAGAUUUAUCUAGACUCGACUAGAAAGGUUGGAAAAAACAUUUGGAGAAACAGACACAUUAAAUGCCCGAGUAGACGGCCAUAAAUGAAUUGACACUAAGGGUUGAUUCGUUAGAACAUAAAACCCUCCAAGUGAGUAGUUUUGAAUAUGGAAGUAGCUCUUCAAGUUUUGUUGCACACAUGGAAGAGCAUGUUGAAGAACUUGAUUGUUCCCAGAAAACAAUGCUAUAGUUGUUCAGUAAUCUGUCAGACGACUUUAGAGCAACGAUAGAGAAAAUCAAGGCUGAGAUGACCGAGAUAAAAAUGUAAGUAAAUUCAACGAUGCGAGCAGUGGAGAAUCAAACCCCAAAUUAAGCAUAUAGUGUUUCGAGCAAGUUCAAGAUCCCAGAACCCAAAGACUUCAAUAGGAAUCGCAAAGCUAAAGAACUUGAAAUUUUCAUCUUUGAUAUGGAGUAAUAAUUUAAGGCUAGUGGAAUUAAUUCUGAAGAAACCAACGUGACAUUAGCCUUCAUGCAUAUGUCUGAUUAUGGAAAAACUAGUGAAGGUCAAAAGUGAGCGAUGUCCAAUAUGGUUGAUGUACCAUUGAUACAUAAGAAGAUCUUAAGAAAGAACUAAGGGCUCGUUCUUCCCUGAAAAUGUUGAAUUUAUUACUUGAAGAAAAUUGCAAGAACUUAAACACACAGGAACCAUCAAAGAGUAUGUUAAAUAGUUCGUCGAUUUUAUGUUGGACAUUAGAGGCAUGUCAGAAAAAGAUAAAGGAUUCUGUUUUGUAGAAAGGCUCAAGUCGUGGCCUAGGACUAAGUUAUAUGAACAAAAUUUUCAAGAUUUUGUCUUUACUCUUGCUACUGUAGAGAGAUUGUUUGACUACGGUGGCGACCAAAGGUUCCAAAAGAAGAAUGUCGAAACCCAAAAAUAGGAUCUCCAAGCCUAAUUCCCCAAUAAACUUCACAAACGAUAAGAAACCAUAGACCUCAAGCUCUAGUACAUCUCAAAAAGCGCAUCAGUCAAAUUCAAAUAAGACAAGACCUAUUUCUUGCUUCUUGUGUAAAAACCCCCAUCGUGUGGCCAAAUGCCUACACCGAGGCUCAUUGACAUCUUUGCAAACCUCCUUACAGUAUUCUAACGUCUAAAACACAAAAACAGAAAUGGAAAGGGAAGAUGAAGGGGACACCGUUCGAAUAGGUGCAAAAAAAAAGGCAUCUCACCAAAAGGAUGCUUUAAAAAAGAGACUUAUGUUUGUCGACACUGUCAUAGAAUCCAAACCCACAAAGAGCACCAUGGUACACUCAGGUGCAACUCAUAAUUUUCUUUUUGAACAAAGAGCACGUCGAUUGGAGUUGAAAAUCAAGAAAGACACAGGUAAGAUGAAAGUUGUUAAUUCUGAAUCCUUGCCAAUUUUUGGAGUAUUGAAAAGGAUAUCUCCAAAAUUAGGCGAAUGGGGAGGAGAUGUUGAUUUAGUCAUGGUUUGUAUGGAUGACUUUGAGCAGGAAUCUGAUAGUAUCGAGCAGUAAUCCUCUUACAACAUAAAGCCAUUCUCAUGCCACUGACUCAGUGUAUGAUAGUAUUGAGCAGUAAUUUGAUAGUGGUCCAAGCAAAAAUUAAGUAACCGAGUGGGGUGAGAAUGAUUUCAGCUAUGCAAUUGAAAAAUGCGCUAAGUAAAGAAGAGUUGACCUUUAUGGACAUCUUGUUCGUGGGAAGCAAAUGGAAACUGAGAAUGUCUCAAUAGUGAUCUAGAAAGUUCUAAAUGAGUAUGUUGAUAUUAUGCCACAUGAACUGCCAUAGUCACUGCCUCCUCGAUGGGUUACCCAUACAAGAAUUGAUACUCUAGCGAAAAAAGUUGAAAGAACUGGAAAUUACGAGCGUGGGGACAGUUCGACGGGCUUUGUAGUCCAUAUCAAAGUGUGAAACUCGAAAAUUUCUAAUAUCUUUGAAACUUGUUAAGAUUGAUCAAGGACAAGAAGAAAUAAAAUUCAUAGGAAAAAGAAAGAUACUUGGAAAAGUUAAGAUUGUAAAUAUAGAAGAAAAGUUAUAAAAUUUGGCUAAAUGUCAAGAAAAGGCAUGAGUGGUUCAGAGGUCAUUUUGGGUAAGUUUUUGGGCAGUAAAAGGAGACCAUAGAACCUCUAAGAGAUGUUGGUUGGACGGCAAGAUGAAGCUUAAGAACCUUUAAGCUUAGGUGUUGCUAAUGGACUAGGCGGCCAAGAAAGAAGGCUAAGGCUUGAGGGUUGAAAUGAUGGCUAAGUGUAAAGAGUUAUAUUGCUAAGUGUUUGGCGUUGGAAUUGUACUAGGCGAGAGGAAGCUGGUGGGGGUGAAGAACCUCCAAAGAACAAGGUGAUGUGUGGAAUUGCUAGGCAUUGGGCUUGAAGCUCAACAAAAUAUCCUCCAAAGAGGUUAUCUAUGCGUUUAAGGUAAUAAUGGGCUAGGAGAGAAAGGAUAGAAGGUUAGCAAGGGGCAUUGAGAGUUUAAGUUUGACAAGAAAGAAGGAUCAUAGAGGUUAGGUGUUUUGUGUUUGGUGGCCAAGGUUAUGUGAGACGGUCAUGGGGUUAGGUUAGCUUUUUGGACAACUAUGUGGCAUGUUUAUAGCAAAUGGUUUAAGGAAUAAUCCAAGUGUCUUAAUCAUCGUAACAUGCAUUUUGAGGUAAAGGAGAAGUUUGAGAUGUCUUAAGGAGGUUUAAGGGUGAAUUAAACAAGGUUGAGGUGUCAAGUUAUUUACAUGCAAGGACUUCUAUAAAUAGACAGCUUCACUUAAGAGUUUCUCACAACUCACACUUGCGCAAAAUUACUCAAAUUAGUCUUGAAAGUUCAAAAAUUGUGUCUAGUUUGUGAGAUAGGGUUGUUGUUCAAUUUGGAUUCAAGAAGAUUGACAUUUGUAUCAAAAUUAGGUGAGAAGGUCAUUUUCCAGAAGAAAUUAAGCACGAUGCAUUACAAGAAGGCUAUAGAACUAGUCUUUGGAGUUUUGCUAUGAAAUUAUGAGGUAAGGAAGUUAAGACAUUUUAAAGAAAAUAUAAUUUUAAGUUAUGAUUUUUCGAAGUCGAGUCAUGUAUUUUGGACGAAAAAUGAUGUUCUGUGCAAUAUGUCAGUGUCGUGCAUGCUAGGCGAGAUGGACUUGGCAUUUUGGUCAUAGAGGUUAAUAUGUGUUAUUGUGAGGUUUGCAGCAAGGUCAUGGCGCAGCUGAGCGGUAAGCCAUGCACUUAGGCUACGCGCAUGACUUGCGAAAAGAGGUUAGUAAGCGGCAAGCAGGGCACACGACACCACGUGGACAAGGACACGCGAUGGGCACUAAUGUACGGCCAUGUGCGCGUGUUGCCCCUCAUUGCGAGGUUAGCAUGCGACGUACACCCCUUAAAGCAAAGUUAGCACGUGACAAGGCCCCAGGCCAUGCGUUGCACAGCCAACCCCAUCCUCUUUCUUAGUGAUCAUUGUUGGGCUGCUUUUUGGUUGUUUUGAGUUGUUAUGUAAUUUUUGGGAAAUUUAAGAGAAGUUUUGGAUAUUUGCAUUAUUAGAUGAUUACUUAUGGAAUAAAUAUGAAUUUUUAGAUCAAGGAGGCUUUGGAGGAAUUUUCCCAACCAAGGCUUCGUUCAAGUACUGUGAGUGGAAAAUGUUCUAUUUAAAGUGAUUUCAAAGCAUGUUUUAAGCCAUGAUUUAUGAAUGAUUUAUUUUAAAUGUUUAAGUUGUUGAAAUUUUUUGUCCUAAAACUCGUAGUUUAUAAUCAUAUUCUAUUCAAUAAAGUUGUUAUUGAGAAAUUAAAUAUUAUAAUCUUAAAUCUAAUAAAUCAAGUUCCAAAGCUAUUUUUGAAUAAACUUGAACUUUAUGUGUAAACAUAAACGUGGAUCAAGUUCGAGUAUAUAGCCUAAAUAGUCUAUAAUAUAUGAAUAAAGGUUGGGCGCCUUAUAUAGAGAGACUAUGGAUGCGGCCCACUUUGUAGUACAAAUGAGGUGAUCAUGAAUCGUUCAUGUAGAGACAUGAAAGUGGGGGCAUCCUAUGUAAAGUGUUUACAUAAGACUGAACCAUGAAUUAGUCAUUUUUACGUUAUAACACCGUUUACUGUUUAAAACUGACUAUCUCAAUUAUUGAUGACCUAGGUAACUUAGUCUUAAUCCUGAGUUAACUAUGAACUCCUGUUCACACGAGAUUAUCCUUAGAUCUGCAUAGGUGAGGGCAGCUCAUCAGCGUUGGCCCAAUAAGCCUCCCAUUUCAGGGGUAAGAUCGGGUGGAUAGCUGGGAACAUAGGUACAAGAUGGAAUUCACUCCUACCCGCUUUAGGGUUAGUAGAUAGGUUGCUCUCUUAAGCACUGAAUCCAAGUCUUGAACAAGGGGCCCCACCCUCUCAUUGGCCCGAGAGGGAUUAAGUUUAUAGGUUGAACCUUAAACCAAUUGUUCAAUAGUGGAUUAGUGGGACUUAAGGAGCAAGAUGUAAUCUUGGGGGUAAAACGGUAUUUUGACCCAGCCAAGGUUACGAGCAACCUGUGAAGGAUUAACUUACUGAUUAUGGUUUUAUCAAAUGGACACAAAUAUAUCUAUAGUGAGGGGAGUGCAACUACGGGACUUUAGUGGAAUGACCCGUUAGUUAACGAAUGUUGAUUAACUCGGUCUAAAAGAGUUUAGCUAGUUAAUCUUGAAUCAUUGGAGCCCAUGAUCUAUAGGUCCAUUAGGUUCUCCUGCUAGCUCAUAUGGAUUAAACUUAGAACAGUGUGAUGAAAUAAGUCAAAUUGUUCGAAUUGGGAGAAGAAAGAGAAACCGGCAAAUAUAGUGAUAUAGUCAUCGAUCUUCUAAUUAGAAAUAGAGCUUUAUGUUUUACAUACUAUAAGUAUGAAUGCAGAUUCAUACUAAGAAGCUCAGAAUUGAUGGAAUUGGUUAAAACUUGUAAAAAGUCAAAAUGUUGACUUUUCACUUUGAAAAGUCAAACUUUGACCGGCCUUAUAUUCAAAUGUGAUUUGAAUUUUGGAAAAAUGAAUGCGGAUUCAUGCUCGGGAGGUUGGAAUUAGUCAAGACGGACAAAAUGGUAAAAAGUCAAAAUAUUGACUUUUGACUUAGAAAAGUCAAAGUUUGACUUUUGACUAGAAAUAUCUAAUGACCAUUUUACCCUUGGACUAAGUUAGUGGGAAAAUCCAACAUUUUGUUGGAUAAUCCCACUAACUCUUAGUGGGAUAUGUGGCUAUAUGAGAUAUAGACACCUAGCCCACUAAGUUCCACUAAUUGUUAGUGGAACAUUAGGUGUUGAGAUUUGGCAAAUGAAUUGCAUGCAUUUUUGCAUGUAAUUAGGUUAUAAAUAGGGGUGUUUUCAAAUGGUUGAAAACUUUUGCUUUUUAUCAUUUUCCAUCAUCUCAACAAAGAAAAAAAAACUUCUACCUUUCAAUCCUCAUUUUAUCUCCAUUACUUUCUACACCAAAAUUGGGUCCCACAACCCGAUUCUUUGUCUAGAGGAUAGCAGUUGAGUACUAGUGGUGGUCUCGGUUAGAAUUGGUAAGGAAGUAUCAAACCUUUUUGAAAGCUUCAAAAGGUAAUAUUUCUUAAAACCCUAAUUUGAUUAGUUUAUGGUUACAUGUUAAUUGUGGCAAUUAGGGUAGAAAUUCGAUUUUUUUUCCGCUGUGCAUGACUUAGUUCUAUCAUGUGGUAUCAGAGCAUGCUUCAUUUUUACCCAAUUGCAUGUGGUGGGUUCAUAUUUAUUAGAUAAAUUUUGGUUUGAACUAAAAUGGAUAUAUUAUGAUUUUGGCUCUAGAUUAAGUAUUUUUGUUCUAAUUAUUGUAAUUAGCCUUGUUAAUGGCUUAUUUUUAUUGUUGCAAAGUGUUUGUAAUUUUUUUUUUUUAAAUAGUCAUUAGAGUUGAAGUUAGGCUGUAAUUGGUUCAACCGGAUGAGAGAAUUGAAAAAAAUGUAGAAAAGAAUGUCACAGACCCGAAAACCCGGCCUUGACCCGCCUCGCGACCCGCCAGCAGCCUGCGCCCUGCACGCCCGCCUGCGCCCG
RNAcentral lists this long non-coding RNA (65276 nucleotides) under Cucumis sativus (cucumber). Its description in RNAcentral is "long non-coding RNA (CSAT_LNC000300)". The record is from RNAcentral. Lineage: Eukaryota; Viridiplantae; Streptophyta; Magnoliopsida; Cucurbitales; Cucurbitaceae.